UUUUUUUUUGUAAAUGUAUUACCCCGACCAUAUGUAGUGAUUUACAUCAGCUCUAAUAAAUAUAGUUGUUUGCAAUGAUGCAGAGAAACCGAGGGUUUCAACCUCCUCUUAGAAGAAGAACAAUUAACCAGCUUUUAACUGGAGAGAAGUUUGUUUACAACCCUUGUAAAGCGUCAUCUGUUUUUGUUUUUGAAGUAAGCGUCAUCUGUUUUGGAACUCAGUGGGUGUAUGAUCUGCAUGUAGCAGCCAGCAGACGUACGUAUGCAUGACAAAUGACAUAGGAGUACAUGCUAGUUAAUUGCUGGUAGUAUUGUAAGGAUAAGACUGCGCAACGUCAAUCAUUCAACACAUAUACUACGAGGUAGUACUAGUAGUUUAGUUGGUUCAUCUGUGGGUUCUGCUUCUUCCUGGACGGAGCGUGCUGCGCGCAUGCAUGCAUGGCUUCACAUUUGCGCCGCAUUUAACACGCGAUUUUGAUGCUAGAGGCUUAAUUAACUACUAGAUCUAGUGAUUAUUAGUGUUGGAUUAGUAAAACGUUUCAGGCUUACGUAUCGGAUGACACAAGGAAGGAAGAAGCCGUAGCCAACAGCUAGCUCAAGGAAAUAUUCCAGCUUAGCUCUAGGUCAAACACUCACAGACGCGCAGAGGAAGCCGGCAGGCAGGCAGCCAGGUGUGUUCUGAUUACCUUCUAUCCUUUACAACGAAAGGAUGUUUUGUUGGUAGGCAGCUACAUACGCCAAAACCUGAUUUGCCUCAAGAAUUUGCUGCCUGCCGGGAAAGGACAGUGUUACUAAUUAAAAAAGACUCAUGGAAAAGUUCUACAAAUAGAGUCGAACUAGCCAAUUUUUUUGUUAUUCCGAAUUGCAGGCUGUGCGAAGAUUUCAGGAACUGUUUUCACAAACAGAAGAAGAAUGAUGGAGGGCCUGGCGGCGGGGCCGGGAUGGCGGAGGAAUAGGAGCAGCAUGCUGCGUGUAGAAUGGAGGAGAAGCGUGUCAGCGUGCUGCGCCAAGUCCACCUCAACCAAAACUACUAGUCGGAGCUAAGGCACCAGGAUUGCCCUCCACGUCAUCAGCCGUCUGAGUGGCAGUCAAAGGGAAGGUGAACCCAUAGGCUCGCCGACGAAGCCUAGAGGGAAGAGUUUGCCCUUGUCGCCAAGGAAAAGGGGAGAGAGAAAUCACGUACUGUUGGACCUCCCUAACAAUAGAUUUGUCAUUAUCAUUACGAUUAAAACUAGGAAAGUAUAAAUCUACCCCUGAUAAGGAAUUACCAACAUGUCCUUGAGUCACAAUCUAACCGACCAGUGCUAAUCAUUGGAUCAACCUAAUACUACAAAUUAUAGUCGGUAAAAAAUCUCAAACUAUUUAUGUGCAAAUAACAACGUAUAUUUUAAAUAAACAAAGUUACCAUGAUCAGAUGCAUUUUUUAGAACAUAUGACAACCAUAUUUAAUAGAUAGACAUUCCAUUCUUUCCCUUGGUGCAGAAACAAAGAGAUUGUUUAUCAAGUUAAAAAAAUGAUAGUUUAUCAACUUGGUGCUAAAACGAUGGGUGUUAAUUACUAACUACCUUCACAAAAAAAGAGCCAAAGGGUAUUAAUGAACGACAGACCUUUAAGGUGUUCUAAAAUAUUAUCACAGUGUACAAGGGACGAUGACAACGGCACGUCGGCAGCUCGUUCUACUGGCUGUUAGUGGUCGUUCGGUAGUCUUGAAGUCUUGAUGUAAUAUUCAUUAUAGUUGAGGUGUUAUCCUUUUCGAAAAAAAUAAGUGUAGGACGUGAACACCACUCUUAUAUAGACACAUUUAACUCCACGGUAACAAUUAUAGUACUAUUUUCUUACCGAAAGACUCAUAAACAUGUAGAAUUAACAUCAUCCAAUCUCUUAUUCCUAGGAGCAUACGUGCAAUAACAGUCACAUAUCCAUGCAUGGUGCGCCAUUAGUAUUUGGACCUAAUGACUGAUGCGCCAUUAGUGUAUAGUAGUGACGCACCAUAUGACUGGUGCGCCAUUAGUGUCAAUUUCAUCUAUAGCCCUUUUCCUAGUAGUGAUGGCAGUACCAGCAACACUCAACAUGUGCUCAGGGGUCUGCCUUGGGAGAGCGGGCUCCAGGAGGCGGAGUCGACAACGAUGUAGGGCCUGAGGCGCGCCGACUCCACCACCGUGUGCAGUGACAACAACUUCUCUGCAGCCGACCUGCAGGAAUUGAUUUAAACACGAUGUAAACACAAACACACUCUCGCACACACUCAUCGAUCCAUCCAUCUGCUGGAUGUACCUAGGGAGAGACGGGCGGCUGGUGCGGGGGAGCGAGAGUCACUCUGUGCGUUUUUAAACCAAACUGGAAACCAUCAAAAAUAGACCGAACCUCACAAAUAUUACAGUUUUUAUUAUGGUUUCUGAUUUAAGUAUGGUAUAUGGACUUCUCAUACUGUUUUGCAUUUUGGUUUUUAUGGUAUAUGCCAAAAACUGAAUGGUUAACUGAAUAAACCGAAAUAAAAAUAUAUAUUUAUAUUUUUUGAGACAAACAAUCAUACAAGUUAUCAUUUUUCUUGUACAUGAGCUAGAUUCCACGCUAAACAUGUCCAUUUUUCUUGUAGGGUAGUCAUUCUUGCUUUAAAACAAGCUAAACACGUCCAUAACCAUCAAGACAUGCAUCCAUGCAUGCAUAUAUUGUUUGUGUAAAAAGGUAUGCCUUUUGAGUCAUAAAUUUUGCAAACUAUUAUAAUGUCAUUUUUUAUUUUGUGUCACCUUUGGUUAUUAUAAUAUAUACAGAAACAAUUUGAUAUAUACAAAAGCGAAACGUAUUUAAGUUGAUGUCGUAUUUACCGAAGUAUUAGUAUCGUAUAAACUAAAAACCUGUAUAAACCGAAUGAACCGAAUGCACAUAGUUAAGUUGACGGCAGGGACGAGCCGAGGUUGCGGCGGAGGCGGCAGUUCGGGCCAAAGACCCCGAAGUCUAAAUUAUAGAAGUUUCAGACAUUUCGGUUAUGCUCAAAAUAUUUUCAAAAGUGAAAUUUGAAACAAUGAAUCCAACUUAUCAAUGUGUGUGUGCAAAACUACAUUCAAAAGAUAGAACCAUCAUUCUUUCCUUUGGUGCAGAAACAAAGAGAUUGUUUAAAGUUAAAAAAAGAUUGUUUAUCAACUUGGUGUUAAUGAACAACGGACCUCAAGGUGUUCUAAAAUAUUGUCAUUGCGUAGAAGGGGCGACGACAAUGGCAUGCCAGCAGCUCGUUCUGGUGGCUGUUAGUGGUCGUUCAGUAAGCUUGAAGUCUUGAUGUAAUUUUCAUUAUAUUUGAGGUGUUAUCCUUUUUCAAAAAGUAAAUGCAGGAGGUGAACACCAUUGUUAUUUAGACAAAUUUAACUCCACGGUAACAAUGUAUAGUACUAUUUCCUUACUGAAAGACUCAUAAAUCCUGUAAAAUCAACACCAUCCAAUCUCUUAGGCUGAUCAUAGUGGGGAGUAACUUAGACUAGUGUCAUGCAUAUGACACUAGUCUAAGUUACUACCACUAGUGGAAAAAGGGCCUAAUGUGAAGCACAUUAGUUCCGGUUUGUAACUGAACCGAUACUAAUGUGACCAUUAGUGCCGGUUCCAACGGCUAGGCGGACGACGCUCAUUAGUACCGGUUCGUGCCACGAACCGGUACUAAUGAGGCCAGUGCGGCUGUGGUCAGGCUAGGGCCACCACGAAGACCUUUAGAGGGUGUUUGUUUCCAGGGACUUAUUGGUCUAGAGACUUAUAUAAGUCCCUAUAAGUCCCAUCUAAACCAAAUAGGAGGGACUUAUAGGGACUUAAAGUGGGCAUUUGAGACUUAUGAAAUAAGACUCUCAAGGAGGGACUUAUUGUUGUAAUAUGGUCUUAUAGAGACUUAUAAGUCCCAGGAACCAAACAGGUAGGGACUUUUUAAGGACUUGGGACUUAUAAGUUGGGACUAAAAAAAGUCCUAAGACUUAUGAACCAAACAGGGCCUUAGUACCGGUUCAUGGCAUGAACCGGUACUAGAGUUUCUUAGUAAACUGAUUUUUAGUCCCACCUCGCCAAGGGAGAGGCAAUAUGAGCGGUUUAUAAGCCGUGAGCGUAGAGACAAUGACGAAGAGGCGCAAUGCUCACCUGCACGUUGAUUAGCUUCAAGCCUUUCAGAAUAGCAUAGAUUGCACUGAGCUAUGUGCAAUGCAGUCUACACUAUUCCGAAAGGCUUGAAGCAAAUUAACCAGGAUUGCACCUCUUUUUUAUUUUUAAUAACUUAUUUGAACUCCGGACUUUUUUUGCGUUCAGUAUGCAGCAUUUAAAGCGACAUCAUCAAUUUCCAACAUGUUCUGACAUCAUUUGCUGUUUUUCAGUCAUUUACCUAAUUGUUUAGAGAGCUAAAUGACAGUGAAAUUGAAAAUCGCUACAAAAUGAACUGUGAAAAUGUUGAAACUUGGCAUGGUAUCAUCAUUUCACCCGCAUAGCAUAUGCGAAAGAGUAGAGAGGGUCACAGCAAAAACUGGACGCACUUCGUGUACAAACUGGACAAUCUUUUUUGGAGUAUCAGGGUUUCGAACGAGAACUCAUCUGUUACAUGAGCCUGCCAGACCUAGGGUGUGCAAAUGCAGGCCUAGAAGGGCCAGCAAGCUCACAGGGCAGCGCGCCAUAGUUAGACCCAGAAGCCUGCUAUAUAGAGAAGUUCGAAGGAGCAGCCACGGCUGGGUUUAUAAACUAGUGCGGCUACCCUUCAAUCGGCGAGGUGGGACUAAACAUUGUGCACCGCCGGUGGCAGCGCACAACCAUUAGUACCGGUUGGUGGCUCCAACCGGUACUAAUGAUUGGGCCUUUAAUACCGGUUCGUGGCACGAACCGGUACUAAAGGGGCCGUUUCCCGCCCUUUGGCCUGGCGAAAGUUGGCCUUUAGUACCGGUUGGUGGCUCCAGCCGGUACUAAAGGCCCCUCCUAUAUAUAUGGCACUUCAAAAAAUUCAGUUUCUCAUCUGCUUCUUCUUCUCUGUCUCGUCGCCCGCCGCCCCGUCCCCGUUCCCGUCGUCGCCGCCCCGGCCCGUCGUCCCCGCCCGGCCCGUCCCCGUCCCCGUCCCCGUUGUCGCCGCCCCGUCCCCAUCUCUGUCGUCGCCAUCCCCGUCGUGACCAUCCCCGUCGGCGCCGCCCGUCGCCGCCCCCAUCGCCUCGCCUCGCCGGUGAGAUCCUGCCCCGGCCGCCAUGUUCACACACACAUUGUUUUUUAGUUUUUUAGUUAUAAAUUUUAGUUUAUUUUUAGUAAAUUCUUAGUUGAAUUAGUUGAAUUAAUUGNNNNNNNNNNNNNNNNNNNNNNNNNNNNNNNNNNNNNNNNNNNNNNNNNNNNNNNNNNNNNNNNNNNNNNNNNNNNNNNNNNNNNNNNNNNNNNNNNNNNNNNNNNNNNNNNNNNNNNNNNNNNNNNNNNNNNNNNNNNNNNNNNNNNNNNNNNNNNNNNNNNNNNNNNNNNNNNNNNNNNNNNNNNNNNNNNNNNNNNNNNNNNNNNNNNNNNNNNNNNNNNNNNNNNNNNNNNNNNNNNNNNNNNNNNNNNNNNNNNNNNNNNNNNNNNNNNNNNNNNNNNNNNNNNNNNNNNNNNNNNNNNNNNNNNNNNNNNNNNNNNNNNNNNNNNNNNNNNNNNNNNNNNNNNNNNNNNNNNNNNNNNNNNNNNNNNNNNNNNNNNNNNNNNNNNNNNNNNNNNNNNNNNNNUGUUUAAUGUUUCACCUAUAUAUGAACAUAUGUUAGAUAUUAAUGUCAAAUGUUAGAUGAAUUAGAUAUAAAUUAUAUGUUAGAUAUAUAUUUAAUUAGUUAUAUGAGAUUUGAUUAUCUAAUUAACAUUUUAUUAUAUAGAACUAGCUACCUUAUUUUUAAUAAGAAAAUCAAUAGAACUACUUUAGUUGAAUUAGUUGAAUUAAUUAGUUGAACUAGUUAGUUGAAUUAGUUGAGCUACUUUAUUUAGGUAUAUUUUUCGUAAGUGCUUAGUUGAAUUAGUUCAAUUAAUUAGUUGAACUAGUUGAUUUAACAUAAUUAGUUGAAUUAAUAGAACUAAUAAGUGUUUAAUGUUUCACCUAUGAACAUAGGAAUGUCGUCUGACGACGAACACGAUUUCAUUAUGUGCGAAUACUGCGAAGACCAGCGCGGCCUGUGCGGCAGAAAUUUUCUAGUUGAUGAUAGACGCUUCAGCAUCAAGCUCGAUGAGAACUUCGAAGUGGAUACAGUAAGUCACAACGACAAGUCUUUUUUCGUAAUUAAGUAUGACUUAUGCUUCAUUUGCUUCAACUUUUAAUUUUAAUUUUUCACUAUUCUACUAGCGUAUCCCCUGCCAUGCAAGAAUUUUUGUCUUGGAUAAGAUAGGUUUCAGUUCUAACGAAACUAUAGAGGUAAAAAUAGUUUACUUGAAGACCGAGCAUGGUUAUACCUUCAACGUUAAAUUAUACAAUGCAGACAUAUACACCUAUUUUGAAUGCAAAACUUGGCAAGCACUAUGCAAGGCUUAUGUAUUUGAGCCUGAUAUGGUUAUCACCUUUGACAUUCGUCCGGAAGAUGAUAUUGAAGGUAAUAUAGACAUCUGGGUCGAUGUGCAGACGCCUCCAGUUCUACCAUUAUGUGAGUUUCUCAACCAUAUUUAUGUCUUCAAUAUGAGAUUAUUUGAACCAAUUGAAUAAUUAAUAUAUCUCAAUUUAUAUUGACAGCUUAUUUCCAAUCAAGAAAACAUGUCCGGCGCUUGGUAGACAGUACCGUCCACUGUCUCGGGGCUGAACUAAACUGCGAGGAGACAAGUUAUUAUGUUUCAUGGCUUGAAGAUCUUGAUGCUGUCAAGAUAAUUUUUUUCCCUUCACUUAGAAAUGUUAGUACUCAAAACGUGCGACCAAUAGUGUUCGUACUGAACUACGAUCACAUAUAUUUAGGAAAGAUGGUAAGAUUUCUACUAUUUCUCCUUAAUGCAUCUUUUGCAUACGUUAUUUUUUUAAGCUAAACUUCAUUGCUAAGUAUGUUACUGUACGAUGUUCUUCAACAGGGACUCCCAAUGAAUGUUGUGCCUGAUUGGAUCGAGACUAAAGGUACCAUGAAUAUUGUUAGCUUACGGCCAAGAUAUCCUACAAUGCACUUUAGUGCAUUCAAGAUUUCUAAUAGCGAGGAAUGCUUAAUAGUAAAAGACUGGAGCAAAAUUGUGAAUGAUCGCAGAGAAGUAGUAGGGGGCAGCAAUCAGAAGUGUAACCCACGAUUAGGAGACAUGUUCAUCUGCAUGCUCCAAUAUGAUGAAUCAGGAAAGGUAUACAUGUUUUAUGCUAUUUUACCUGAGAGAGAGCAGCAGGAGUGAUUAAUUAGCUAGUUCAUGCUCUUAGUAGUUGUCCUCGCAUGUCCGUGUUCUUCGUCCCGAACUUAAUCUCAAAGAGUGAUGUGCUUUUGUGGUGUUAUGAACGUUUAUAAUACCAUUAUCAUGUCAGCACUCGAUGAUACCUUUGCUUCUGGUACAAGUGAAUGUUUCUUGUUUAAGCUAGUAUUGUUGGUGAUGAUAUAUAUGAUGCAGGAGUUUUUAUAUUAAUAUGAUGAUUAUGAUGAGUUAUUAUAUCAUUUAUGAAAGAAACCGUAGAUUAGUUUCAACUGGAUGGAUUCUAGCUAAGUGAUCAAGUAUAUGCCAUAUUCAUAUUACCUCGAUCACUUAAUUAGGUGAUCAAGUAUAUAUAAUAUGGAUAUGACAUAUACUUGAUGACUUAGUUAGGAUCCAUAUGCAUCCAGUCAAACUAAUCUGCGGUACAUUCACUUAAUGAUUUAAUAACUCAUUAUAAUGUAAAACAAUCACUAAAUUAAAUUGAAAACACAAAAUUAAAGUAAAAAUAAAAAUAAAACCAAAACACACCCAAACAUUUAGUACCGGCUGGUGUUACCAACCGGUACUAAUGUCCUACGUGCCCACGGAGCUGGCUCGUGCCACGUGGUUGCCAUUUAGCACCGGUUCGUGCUGAACCGGUACUAAGGGGGGGGGGGGCUUUAGUGCCGGUUACCGAACCAGCACUAAAGGGCCUUACGAACCGGUGCUAUUGCCCGGUUCUGCACUAGUGUAUCUUCAUAGUGCAAAGUAAUAUAGUAGUAGUGUUAUAGAUGUCUUCAUUUAUUAGCCUGUGGACUCAUCCUUUUUUUUCGAGAAUGACGGGGGGGUAUUGUGCCCCACCGGUUGUUAUAUUACUCGAAGGACCUGGCAGUCAUACAGUGUUUUUCAUCGAAAAGAUAAAAAAACAACAUGAUAAGAAGCGAAAAAAAAGAGAAACCCGCCAUGAGGCAGUCUAGAGGACUGAGAGAAAGAAAAGUCGGAUGGCCAGAAGUCGAUCCCGAGACGGAGCGUCAUAGCGCCUGCUCCAAAUCAGGAGGUCGUCGGCCGUCCUCGCGAGGAUAUCACAGGCGGUGCAGCGUAUGUUGUUGAAGGUGGCGUUGUUCCUGGCCUUCCAGAUCUGCCAGAGAAGCACAAAGAGCCCAUCUUUCCACAACGCAGCCACGUCGGCGGACGGCGAGGGAGAGGCGAGGAUCGCAUCCACCGAGGGGAAAGGGCCCAGACCGAGGCGAGUCCAGGUCGAAACCGCACGACCGCAGGCGGCGAAGAUGUGAGAAGUGGACUCCUCGUUGGGGCAGGAGGCGCACGUGCUGGAGGGGGUGCAACUCUUCGCAUGCAGGUUCUUCCGGGUACUAAGGCGGUCCCGGACCAGAAGGCACGCGAAGAUCUUGAUCUUCCGCGGGAGACGCGAACUCCAGAUGUCGAUGGAAGACUGGCAGAGCACCCCGUGGGGGGACAUGACCCUGAACGCGGCGCGCGAGCUGAACUCCACGUCCUCCCCCCAGGCCAUGAGUCGACGAUCCGGAGCGUCCACAAGCCCAAGGUCACUGAUGAUCGCCUGCACAGCCGCAAGCUGGGAAGCGGCAACGGAGGAGAGGCGCCUCUGGAGGUGCAUACCGUCGGCGGACACUGCUGCCACCGAGGCGUUCGGGCGCGUCGAGUGAGAGUACAAUGCCGCGUACUCAAAGCAGAGGGCGCGGCCGGGCCGCCAACGGUCGUGCCAGAACGAGGUGGCGCGCCCGUCGCGGAGAUCCACGCGGGUGAUAGACCUGUACGUCGGGAGGCCGCUGAGAAUGAUGGCCCCAAGGAAAGAAGGAGCCGAGCAGGGGUCGCCAACAUCUCUCCUGGUGGUGCUGAGAAACCACCGUUUCCACGGCGGACAGUCGGGUUGAUGAAGCUUGUGGACGAAGUUGAGGAGCAGACACAUGUUCUGCCGACGGAGAUCCCGGAUCCCGAAGCCGCCUUCCUGCACAUCUGCACACACUUUAUCCCAAGCAAUUAGACAACGCGCACCGGAGCAAGUAUCCUUGCCGGUCCAAAAAAAGGCACGACGCCUACGAUCAAUCAACUCAAUCACACCAGAGGGAAGCAAGUACGAGCACAUGAAGUAGGUGGGGAGGUUGUUGAGAACGGCAUUACAAAGGACCAUCCUACCCCCUGACGACAGGAGGAGGGCACGCCAACCAGAGAGGUAACGGUCAAAGGAGCGGAUAAGAGGGUCGUAAGCGGAGAUGGGAAGUUUCCAGGGGGAGAGGGGGAGACCCAGGUAGGGUUGAGGGAAGGAGGAGAUGGGACAGCCGAGGGUAGUAACCAUGGCGACUGACAGAUCGUCGGGGCAGUGCAUGGGAAUAAACCCAGACUUGUGGAAGUUGAUGGCCAGGCCGGUAGCAAGGGCGAAAGAGUCAAGGAUGGUUUUGAGAGUCGCCGCCGACUGGGGGUCCGCACGGCAGAGGAUAAGGGUGUCGUCGGCGUAUUGGAGCACAGGGCAGGGGAGCGAGGGGUCAAUCGGGUGAGCAAGCCUCCCAUCCGAGGAAGCCGAGCGAAUAAGACGCUGGAGGACAUCGGCGACAAGAAUAAAAAGGUACGGCGAAAGCGCGUCCCCUUGACGGAGGCCAUUGCGGCAAAGGAUCCAGUCCCCAGGGAUACUGUUGAGAAGGACGGCGGUGUGUCCUGUAGAAAGAAUGUCUCGGAUCCAACCGCACCACCGGGAGUUGAAUCCACGGGCUGAGAGAACGGAAAGGAGGCUGGACCAGUUAACCGAGUCGAAAGCCUUCCGAAAGUCGAUUUUGAACACAAUCGUGGGGGCUUUCCGGACGUGGCAGGCACGAAGGAGGUCGGCCGCGUAAACAAUGUUUUCUGAAAUACGCCGACCAGGAAGAAAGCCGGUUUGGUCAGGAUCGACGAGAGAGUGAAUGUAACGCUGCAGCCGAGUGCACAAGGCCUUGGUGAUCGCCUUCAUGAUGCAAUUUUGAAGGGAAAUGGGGCGAAAGUCUUGGGGGGAACGAGCCGCCUCAAACUUGGGGAGGAGGACCAGGAAGGCACGGUUAAUGCGAGAGAGGUCGAGAGACCCGGAGUAGAAGUCAUGGAAGACCGCCUCAACGUCUGUCGCGAUAGUGGCCCAGAAGGAGACAUAGAAGGAGGGGCCGAACCCGUCUGGGCCGGGGCUUGAGAGACGAUUCAUGUCCAGGAACGCCUGCCGGAUUUCCUCGGACGUGAAGGGGUUCGAGAGGUCAUUAGGGAGGGUGGCAGAGUUGCCGUAGAGGUCCGAUAGGGAGAAGUUCCAAGUACACGGGGAGGUCGUACCCAGAAGAUCUUUGUAGUAGGCCCGGAGAGCACAAGCUUUGGACUCAUGCGAGAAGAGGUCAACUCCAUCGACAGAGAGAACAGGGAUGCAGUUUUUCCGGAACCGGGAGGAUGCGGAAGCGUGGAAGAAGCCGGUGUUCUCGUCACCAGCGACGGCGUAACGGACUUUGGCACGCAAUUUCCAGUAAAGGACACGCUCUUUUACAGGAAGCGCUAUGUCACAGUAACAUAUUAUGUUAUUCUAAACACGUCUCCCCUCAUUAACUACAUGCCACAUAAGUAAAAUUUUCUUAAAAUGCGCUAUGUUAUUAUCUAAGUUACUCUCAGUAUGACUAGCCUUAUUCCUAGGAGCACACGCGCAAUAAGGGUCACAUAUCCAUGGCAGUACCAGCAGCACUUAGGGGUCUGCCUUGGGAGGACGGGCUCCAUCAAGCGGAGUCGACGAUGAUGUAGGGCCUGAGGCACGCCGACUCCACUACCGCGUGCAGCGGCAGCAACAUCUUCGCUGCCGACCCGCAGGAAUUCAUUUAAACAUGAUGUAAACACAAACGCACACUCACACACGCUCAUCGACCCAUCCAUCUACUAGACGUACAUGUGGAGAUACGGGCGGCUGGUGCGGGGAGCGAGAGUCACUUUGUGCACUUUUAAACAGCACUGGAAAAACAUACCGAAAAUAUUAUUACCGAACCUAACCAAUUUUACAGUUUUUAUGGUUUCUGGUCUCGGUAUGGUAGAGCUUUUCACACUGUUUUGAAUUUUGGUUUUUAUGGUAUAUGCCGAAAACUGAAUGGUUAACUGAAUAAACCGAAAUAAAAAUAUGUAUUUAUAUUUCUUGAGACAAACAAUCAUACAAGUUGCCAUUUUUCUUGUACAUGAGCUAGAUUCCACGCUAAGCACGUCCAUUUUUCUUGUAGCGUAGUCAUUUUUCUCUUAAAAACAAGCUAAGCACAUCCAUAACCAUCAAGGCAUGAAUCCAUGCAUGCAAAUAUUCUUUGUGUAAAAAAGUACUCUCUCCGUCCCAAAUUUGUUGCCACGGAAAUGGAUAGAAGUGGAUGUAUUUAGAACUAAAAAUAUGUUUGAUACAUCCAUUUUUGCGACAAGUAAUUUUGAAGGGAGAAAAUAUUUGUUUUAAGUCAUAAAUUUACAAACUAUUAUCAUGUCAUUUUUAAAUUCGCGUCAACUUUGGUUAUUAUGAUAUAUACCGAAAUGAUUUGAUAUAUAUGAUACCGAACCAUAUUUUAAUUUCAUGUCAUAUUUACCGAAGUAUUAGUACCGUAUAAACUAAAAACCCGUAUAAACCGAACCAUGGAAACCGAAUAAACCGAAUGCACAGAGUUAAGCUGACGGCACGAACAAGUCGAGGUUGCGGCGGUUGGGGCCAAAGACACCGAAUCCGAAAUUAUAGAAGUUUUAGACAUUUCAGUUAUGUUCGAAAUAUUUUCAAAAGUGAAAUUUGAAACAAUGAAUCCAACUUAUCACUGUGUGUGUACAAAACUCUAAUUAACAUAAUUAGUAAGAAUCGUACAGUGGCUAGAGAGAGGGAGAGAGAAAAUGGUGAACAAACUAAGACAAGUAUUGUCCAUAUGAUCAUCACGCGGGCCGAUCUUCAAUUUGCACAAGCUGAUCGACUCGAACAAAGCACUUGUCGUCUCAGCUGAUGAGCUCCCGUAUCGCCUGCAUGGUGGUCGGGGAGAAGAAGAAGCUGCUCGGGGACAGCAGCGACCAUGCAGCAGACGGGGAAGCAGAAGGUUCCGGAUGAUCAUCAUGACCACACGGUGCACGCUGCUGCUGGCUAAGCGUGAGAACCAAAGACGUCGCCUCCAUCGACGGUCGCUUCUUGCAAUUGCCCGUGAGCCUCUGCACGACGGCCAUGAACUCGUGUGGGUCGGCGUGGACGACCCUCGGCGUGCGCUCGUACACGAUCAUGGGCCCGGCUGGUCCGGCGUGGCCGCCAACGCGUGGCUUCUUGGACGGCCGGGCCGGCAGGCUCAGCAGCUGCGGCCUGAGGCCCCGGAGGCCACCUGCUCUCUUCGGCUUGGACGACGUCGACGGCAUGUCGUGCGUGCGUGUGUGUGUUCGUCUCUGUCCUAGGUUGUUUUUGCAAGCGGAUUUAAUCUGGUUCUACUCCUACGCACGGCGGCAUCAAUGCUUAUAUAGGGGCGUUGCCGUGGUUAGAGCAGGAUGGCAAAAGAAAUGGUGAGCCGAACUUGGACCUGCUACUACCCUCCGUGUGCAUGGUUGCCAUUCUGCGUGCACAAGAAAGGGUCAGAGAUAUGGAUAAACUAGCGUCACUUCCUCGCGUAUGGAAGAAGUUGUUGUAUACUUUAGAUUAUCGACGAGUUUCCGGCCGGGGUCAUGCCUCCAUUAUUAUACAUACUAUAAAAUAGAUAGUGUUGUUUUACUUUGUACGCACACUGUUAACAUUGAUGGCUAUCUUUUGUAUGAUAAUGUACGGCACAAAGGGAAUCAAAUAAAUGUUUAUGUUGUUGUGAAACUAGUUUGAUGGCCAAUCAAAUGAUACUAUUUCUGUAGCCCACCCUGCAAAAAAAAAAAACUGCUUCAUGUCUGGGUGAAGACUCUUGUUCUGACCUUGAUUGAUUGGGCUCAACAACGGCGAGAUUGCGUCCUUACCUUGUUGAAGACGUUGUCUCGCUAGUCGAUUCGGUGAUUGGUCUUGGUAACUAGAAUGAAAAUCCUUAUCUUGGUCGUUUGUGGUCAGAUGUGGCGACAACAGCAUGAGGACGAAGUUUAUUCCCUCUUGAAGACGUUGUUGUGGAAGAUAUCAACCAAGUUGUAAGUGUUAAUCAAUACGACGCUGUCGUAGUUAUCUAUGUUAUGUCAAUAGUCUAUUUGUUGGCGAUUUACAUCAACUCUAAUAAAUAUGGUUGUAUGCAUUGCAAUGAUACAGAGAAACCGAGGGUUUCAACCUCCUGUUAGAAGAAGAACAAUUAACUAGCUUUUAACUGGAGAGAAGUUUGUUUACAACCCUUGUAAAGCGUCAUCUGUUUUGGAACUCAGUGGGUGUAUGAUCUGCAUCUAGCAGCCAGCAGACGUACGUAUGCAUGACAAAUGACAUAGGAGUAUAUGCUAGUUAAUUGGUGGUAGUAUUGUAAGGAUAAGAUUGCGCAACAUCAAUCAUUCAUUCAACACAGACCGGAGCCGACUAUAAUACACACACAUAUACGAGGUAGUAGUAGUUUAGUUAGUUCAUCUGUGGAUUCUGCUUCUUCCUGUACGGCGCAUGCUGUGCGCAUGCAUGGCUUCAUAUUUGAGCUGCAUUUAACACGCGAGUUUGAUGCUAGCGGCUUAAUUAACUACUAGAUCUAGUGAUUAUUAUUGUUGGAUUUGUAAAACGUUUUAGGCUAGGCUUUACGUACCGGAUGACGCGAGGAAGGAAGAAGGAAAUAGGUCAGGGAAAUACUCCAGCUUAGCUCCAGGUCAGACGAACACACGCGCAGAGGAAGCAGGCAGGAAGCCAGGUGUCUUCUGAUUACGUUUUACCCUUUACAACGAAAUGAUGUUUCGUUGGUAGGCAGCUAUACACACCACAACCUGAUUUGCCUGAAGAAUUUGCUGCCUGCCAGGAAAGGACAGUGUUAUUUAUUGAAAAAGACUGACAGAAAGCAAAAGUACCUUUCUACACCUGAGCUCAUAUGCUCCUGAUGUGAACAGUAAACUAAAUAAAAUAUAAAAACAUUUAAAAAAUUCUGAAAUUUUUUUAUGACAUACUUUAAGAAAUGUUUGUUGUGCAUGCAAAAUUUCACCACGAAAUCGCAUUCGUGGAAGUCGUGGCAAAAAAAAAAACAAAAAAAGCUCCAAAAUGCGUUUGAAAGUAACAUUUACAUAGUAUCGAUUUUGUUUUUUUACCAUGCCUUCCAUCAAUGUCAUUUCGUGAUGAAAUUUUGCAUGCACAACAAACAUUUCUUAAAGUAUGCCACAAUUUUUUUUCAGAAUUUUUUGAAAUGUUUUUCUAUUUUAUUUAUUUUACUGUUCACGGCAGGAGCAUAUGAGCUCAGGUGUAGAAAUUCCACGUCCGACGGAAAGGUUCUACUAAUAGUGUCCAACUAGCCACUUUUUUGUUUGUUUCUGAAUUGCAGGCUGUGCGAAGAUUCUAGGAACUGUUUUCACAAACACAGUAGAAGAAUGACGGAGGGCCUGGGGGAGGGGCAGGGCGGCGGAGGAAUAGAGGCAGCAUGCUGCGUGUAGAAUGGAGGAGAAGCGUCGGCGAGUUGCACCAAGUCCAUCUCAACUUAAACUACUAGCUAGAGCUAAGGCACCAGGACUGCCUGGAAAAAGAGGAACCGAUGAAUCUUCGAAGGCACAAGAUUGACUUACAUCGAGGUGACACACCUAACCUUCAAGGAGAUCAUGCAGUGCAAUCUGGCCUUCCAGCCAAAAGCGAUCCAAAUUCAUAAGUAGUUAGUAUGCGGCACUUAGUGUGAUUCUUUAGAUCUUGGGGUUUCCGACGCACGUGUCCCCUUUCAAAACAUGCAACACUGUACAUAUUUCCCUCCACUUCCUUAAAAAAAGGAUUACCCUCCCAGCGGCAGUCAGAGGGGACGUGGACCCACGGGCUUGCCAACAAAGCCUAUAAGGGAGAGUUCACCCUUGCCGCCGAGGGGAAGGGGAGAAAAAAAAUCACGUGUUGUAUGACCUCCCUAAGGAUAGAUUUGCCAUUAUCAUUACAAUUAAAACUAGAAAAUUAUAAAUCUACCCCUGAUAAGGAAUUACCAACAUGUCCUUUAGUCAAAUCUGACCGGCUAGUGCUAAUCAUUGGAUCAACCUAAUACUACAAAUUAUACUUGGUAAAAUAUCUCCAAAACUAUGUAUGUGCAACUGACUGACGUAUAUUUUAAAUAAACAAAGUCACCAUGUUUAGAUGCACUUUUGAAAACAUAUGACAACCACAUUCAAUAGAUAGACAUAGACAUCCCAUCCUUUCCUCUGGUGCAUAAACAAAGAGAUUGUUUAUCAACUUGGUGCUAAACCGAUGAGUGUUAAUUAAUUACUAUUCCCUCCGUUCGGAAUUACUUGUCGUAGAAAUGGAUGUAUCUAGAUGUAUUUUAGUUCUAGAUACAUCCAUUUUUAAGACAAGUAAUUCCGAACGAAGGGAGUAACUACCUUCAUAAAAAAUGAGCCAACAGGUAUUAAUGAACAGCAGACCUCAAGGUGUUCUAAAAACAUUAUCACAAUGUAGGAGGGGCGACGAUAGCGGUGCGUCGGUAGCUCGUUCCGGUGGCUAUUAAUGAUCGUUCGGUAGUCUUGAAGUCUCGAUGUAAUUUUCAUUAUGUUUGAGGUGUUAUCCUUUUCAAAAAAAAUAAGGAGUAGGAGGUGAACACCACUGUCAUUUAGACACACAUUUAACUCCACGAUAACAAUUUAUAGUACUAUUUCCUUACUGAAAGACUCUUAACUCCCGUAGCAUCAACACCAUCCAAUCUCUUACUCCUAGGCGCAUAGGCGCAAUAGCUGUCACAUAUGACAUAUCCAUGGCAGUACCAACAGGGCUCAACAUGUGCUCAGGGGUCUAACUUGGGAGAGCGAGCUCCAGUAGGCGGAUGGCGAUGCAGGACCUAAGGCGCGCAGACUCCACCGCCGUGUGCAGCGGUAGUAGCUUCUCCGGCGUUAUAGCCGCCGCCGACCUGCAGGAAUUGAUGUAAACAGGAUGUAAACACAAACACACACGCCCAUCGAUCCAUCCAUCUGCUGGACGUACCUACGGAGACAUGGGCGAGUGCGGAGAGCGAGAGUCACUCCGUGCAUUUUAAAACCAAACCAAAAAAACAUACCAACAAUAAACCAAACCUAACCAAUUUUAUGUUUUUAUGCUUUCUGGUUCUAGUAUGGUAUGGAUUUUCCAUAGUGUUUUGAAUUUUGAGUUUUAUGGUAUAUACUAAAAACUGAACGGUUAACCGAAUAAACCAAAAUAAAUAUAUUCAUAUUUAUAUUAUAUUUAUAUUUCUUGAGAUGAACAAUCAUACAAGUUGUCAUUUUUCUUGUACAAGAGCUAGAUUCCCCGCUAAGCAUGUUCUUUUUCUUGUGACGUAGUCAUUUUUCUCUUAAAAACAAGCUAAGCACGCCCAUGACCAUCAAGGCAUGAAUCUGUGCAUGCAUAUAUUGUUUGAAGUAUGUAUUUUGAGUCAUAAAUUUGUAAAUUAUUAUUAUGUCAUUUUUAAAUUCGCGUCAACUUUGAUUAUUAUGGUAUAUACUGAAACUGAACCUUACUUAUAUUUCAUGUCGUAUUUACUAAAGUAUUAAUACCAUACAAACUGAAAACUCAUAUAAACCGAACCAUGUUAACCAAAUAAACCAAAUGCAUGGAGUUAAGCUAGACGGCAGGGAUGAGCCGUGGUUGCAGCGGAGGCGGCGGUUUGGGCCAAAGACGCCGAAGCCUAAAGUAUAGAAGUUUCAGACAUUUCAGUUAUGCUCAAAAUAUUUCAGAAGUGAAAUUUGAAACAAUGAACCCAAUGUAUCAUUGUGUGUGUGUAAAACUCUAAUUAACAUAAUUAGUAAGAAUCGUACAGUGGCUAGAGAGAGGAAGAGAGAAAAUUGGUGAACAAACUAAGACAAGUACUGUCCAUAUGAUCAUCACCCUCGCCGAUCUUCAAUUUUCACAAGCUGAUCGACUCGAACAAAGCACUUGUCGUCUCAGCUGAUGAGCUCCCGUAUCGCCUGCAUGGUGGUCGGGGAGAAGAAGAAGCUGCUCGGGGACAGCAGCGGUGAUGCGGCAGCCGGGGAAUCAGGAGGUGCCGGAUGAUGAGCACCACACGGCGCACGCUGCUGCUGGCCAAGCGUGAGAACCAAGGCGUCUGCGGCGGUCAACGUCGAGGCCCUGCCGUCCCGAGCUCCGGUCGACGACUGCUUCUUGCAAUUGCCCGUGAGCCUCUGCACGAUGGCCAUGAACUCGUGUGGGUCGGCGUGGACGACCCUCGGCGUGCGCUCGUACACGAUCACGGGCCCGGCAGCUGGUCCGGCGUGGCCGCCGACGCGCGGCUUCUUCGACGGCCGUGCCGACAGGCUCAGCGGCUGCGGCCUCGGGCCCUGGAGGCCGCCUGCUCUCUUCGGCUUGGACGACAUCGACGACAUGGCGUGUGUGUUGUGUCUCUGACCCUCUGUUGUGUAUUGUCUUUGCAAUCGGAUUUAAUUUGGUCCUACUCCUACGCACGGCGUCGUUAAUGCUUAUAUAGGGGAAAUGGUGAGCCGAACUUGGACCUGUUUCCCUCCGUGCAUGGCUGCGAUCCUGCCUGCACAAGAAAGGGUCAGAGAUGGGGAUAAACUAGUGUCCCUUCCUCCUCCGUAUGGAACACUAGUGCAGAACCGGGCAAUAGCACCGGUUUGUAAGGCCCUUUAAUACCGGUUCCAUAAUCGGCACUAAAGUGUGGACACUAAAGACUUUUCUUUUAAUACCGGUUCAGCACGAACUGAUGCUAAAUGGCAACCACGUGGCACGAGCCAGCUCCGGGGGCCGGGAGCCCUUUAGUACCGGUUGGUAACACCAACCGGUACUAAAAUGUUUGGGUUUUUUUUGGUUUUAUGAUUUCUUUUUCAUUUAAUUUUGUGUUUUUCAUUUUAAUUCUUUUUUGUUUGCUGAUAUUUUACGAUACUACACAUUGUACACGUUAUGCAUAUAUAUAUAAAUAGAAUUUCUAGUAUAACCAAUUAUAUAUAUAUCAUCAAUGUCUCACAAACCACCAUAUUAAUUCACACAUACACACAUGUAUAGCUAUAUACAAUUUCUUUUAUAUAUGCAUGUUGCCUUCGGAGCCAGUGGCAUUAGCCUAAUUGGUGCCUUCGGAGCACGAUGACAAUUGGAAGUGGUUCAUGACCUGGUCGAUGGGGGCGAUAGCGGGUAAUAGUAUUCUCCCUUCGAAUUUAUAACCUGGUCGAGCAAAAAUCCCGCUAUUUCCUCUUGAAGUGCUUCUACGCGCUCCGUUUCUAGGAGCUUGUCCCGCACCUCUUUGAACUGUUAAGAAGGAUAUCAAUAUGCAUGUGUAUUAGUUGUGUGACUAGAUAUCGAUAAUGGUGUAAAAAUUGUGAAUAGUGUUCUGACAAGCGUACCAAUUUCUGUCUUUGAGAUCUGCUCCUUUCGGAUGCCAUCAUGUGAAUGUUCUCGCAAACGCAGAAUGCACACAAAUCAAUCCCCUGCGCCUGCUUCAGGGCCUUUAUUACGAGAAUGAAAUUUAAUUUGAUCAGAUAAUAAUUAAUCAAGCAUGAUAAUUACUAGUACUACUUAAUUACUUACCUUGGGUCGAAACCAUUUCAGCUGUCGUUUCCAUUCGCCUUCCGUGACGCCGAUGAACCUUGCCCAAGCCCUGCCCGCCGACAAAGAAAAUAAAUAAAGGGGUUAUUAAAUAGUUCAUAUCAUGAAAUGACGAACUAAAUAGGUCAAGAUAUAUAGUUAAUAAUGAUUGAAAUUACCUGUUGAUUAUCCCAAACAAGAUGUUAUAGUCACUAUUUGCUUUGAGUAGUGAGUUCAGUAUUUCAACUGUUCCGGCGUCAACAUUAAUGAUACACAAGAUCCAGUGAAAUCUGCAUGCACACACGUUUGCAUGUCUUAAUUAAGCGGGCAUAUGUAAGCAAAAACAUGUAGCUAGCUAGUAGGCAAAAACAGAGAAUUUGUAGUACAAGAAAGUGUGACUCACUGGAAGUUGUAAGGAAGUAGUAUAUCUUCAUUGUAUUUGAGGCGCUUCAAGAACUCUAGCAUGCUGUCCUCUACCUGCUUUUCAUGAUGCUUGUUUAUUUUCCAUGUGUAUUCAUUAACGGUGUUUGGGUCAAUGAACCCAAUGCCAUAGCGUCCACCUUUUCUCAUUUCAUACAUCUUCAUCCUGCAUAAUACCACAGAAAAGAAUAUAGUGAGGAUAAUUACAGGUAAUGAUUGAUCAAAAGGAUCACUACAGCUAGCUUGAGACUUAAAUUACAGAAAGAAAUCACUUACAGACAAUAGCAACUGACGAUAGAUUUGUCGAGUGCGUCUUGAUUGUAUAACUGAAACAGUUCAGAAUACUCAACGGUCACAGGUUUCUGAUGGUAGUAAUGAUCCUUCUUGACUUGCACCAUGAGGGACUCUUGAUCGGAUCUCUUGGUAAUGUCCAUGUACCAUUGACGCAAUUCAUACAUUCUCGUUGGGAGCUUCUUGACCUCUUCUGGCUUGACCAAAGGUUGGCCCCGGGCAUAUUUCCGUUUUAUUUCCUCCUCUGUAAGCACAGGCAUGUCCUCGAUCUCGAGGAGUUGUCCAACAGUGAUGUUGAGAGUUUCAGCCUGCACUAUAUGCUCCUGGGUUAUUACCACAUCGCCCACCUCGGGAACAUAAACUGUUUGCCCACAAUAAUAUUGGGUGCGCGUACUGUCACAUGUUGUUGGCGGCACAAUAAACGGGGGGAUCGAUUGUGCUGCCUGUUCUCCCAGCUGGGCAACGGUUUUCCCGCAUUUGACAGCUGCUUGUUGUUUGCUCGAGCUCGAGCUCGCCUCCUUCUGUAGAUGUUGUCGAUGUAACUUCCUGAUGUGGCGCUCAUAGUCUGUGUCAACAGGCUUAGGAGCUGGUGGUUGAGCCAUACGAAUGAAGUGGUCAACUACUUCCACAGGCACUUUCUCCCUUGGCGGCAGUGGCGGUUUCGGUCCAAAAUGGGCGUCGACUUCUGCCCGCACUAUGGCAUUGGUUUGCUCCUCGGUCCUGUCGUAAGCCCUCUCAGGAAGAGGAGUAGUGAGGUUUGGACCAUAUUUAUAUUGCUUGCCUCCGCUUGUACUUCCUGUACUAUGACCUCGACUCGUACCGCUACACACCAUAGCUGCGGGGUGUCUCUUCUGUGAUUGCUGAGGCGGCGGAGACGGCUGACGGGGCUGAGUUGGACGAGGAGGAGUGACCUGAAGUUGUGCCGGACUUGGAGGAGGAGUGGCCUGAGGUUGUGCCGGACUUGGAGGAGGAGUGGACGUCUGACGCUGUGUCGGACUUGGAGGAGGAGUGGCCUGACACUUAGCCGGACUUGGAGGAGGAGGAUUGGCCUCACGCGUUGGUGGACUUGGAGGAGCGGGAGUCUGCUGACUCGGUGGCGGACUUCGACGAGGAGUCGGGUGACGCGGUAUCGGUGGCCUUCGAAAGAUGAUGCAAUCCUUUCUCCAUAGAAUGAUACGAUGUUUGGCAUCUCUGAGUGUGUGCUCCUCGUCACCUCCAGGAAUGUCAAGCUCUAGCCCCGAAUAUUGGUCCACCACCUCAUCAACCACAACACGAGCAUAGCCUGCUGGAAUCGGGUUGCAAUGGAAGGUUGCAUCGGGGGAAUUUGUAUAAGCAACGCCGUCCGCCACCUUCAAGGAUAUGUUCUUAAUUUUGAAGUGUAGCUCGCAGUUAGUGUUCUCCGCGAUGUCAUCCACGGGGUAUCUAUCCAGCAUUGCGUCAAACGGGGCGGAACCCACACUGCUUCUCGGCAUGGAUGGGGCGGUGGUAUCCAAUGCUGGAUCAUCCGCUAGCUGCUGCAGCUGCUGAGACCCCCUUUGCUGGCUAAGUGAGUCGAUCUGCUCCUGCUGCCGCUGGAAUUUGACUACCAAGUCCGCCUGCGCUGAUUCUAGGCCUUGAAGGCGUUCAUAGUCCAGCUUCCUCUUCUCCUCCUCCAUCUUCCUCUGCUUCUCCUCCGCAAUCUUCCUUCUCACACGGGUUCUGUAGUCGGCGUUCCAGUCCGAAAACCCCUCAUACCACGGAAUAGCGCCCUUGCCUCGUGUUCUUCCCAGGUGUUCAGGAUUUCCCAGGGCACGCAUAAGCUCGUCGUUCUCUCUGUUGGGCUGGAACACCCCCAUUCGAGCCUCUUCUAUUGCAACAAGUAUAUUAUCACCGGCUCCGUUCAGACAUGUCUUCGUCGAAACUUUGCCUGUUUUCGGGUCCAACUCCCCCCCCCCAUGCGCAUAGAACCAAGUCCUGCACCUGGGGGGCCAGCUCUUAGUAACCGGAGUGACACCUGCAUCCUCCAUCUCUUUCUCAGACUUAUCCCACUUAGGCAUUGCCACCGCGUAGCCACCUGGCCCCAGCUUAUGGAACUUAUCCUUUUUUCGGCAUUCUUCUUGUUUAUUCUCGACCGUUCCUUAGCUAAUUCUAAAUCCUUGAAUUUCACGAAAUCGUCCCAAUGAGCACUUUAAUUCUCUAGUGUUCCCUCGAAUACUGGAGUCUUCCUUCCUCCCUUGACGUACUUGUCCCAUUCACGAUUCUUGUGGUUCUUGAAUGCAACUGCCAUCUUCCUAAGAGCAGCGUCCUUGACUUUCUGCACAUCUGCUUCUGUGAAAUGAUCUGGUAGGGUGAAAUGUUCCAUGAGAGUAUCCCAAAGCAGACUUUUUUGUCUGUCGUCGACAAAAGUAAGAUCUGGACGUGGCUUUGCUGGCUCUCUCCAUUCUUGAAGGGAGAUCGGGAGUUGGUCCUUCACAAGAACUCCGCACUGACGAACGAACUUGUCUACAAUCUUCUUAGGCGCUAAUGGUUCGCCAUUAGGUUUGAUUGCCUCGAUAUUAUACUUUACGCCCUCCUUCAACUUUUUGUUCGGGCCUCGUUUCAUCCUGUUGCCUGAAGAUUUGCUCGAUCCGGAUGGCUGAAAGAAGAAAGAUCGAUUCGUUAAUAUAUCAUCAACUCAUUUAAAACAUGUGAUGAUCACCAGAUGCCUGCUUAUAUAAAUAUAUAUACCUCGCCGGUCAUGACUUCAUCAAUUCGGUCGUCGCGAUCGAAUAUCAUAUCACCCUCUCCGGUGUUGUUUAGAAAUUCGGAGCCGUCAUAAUCUUCUUCAUUCUGAUCAUCAUCUGGCCCGUGUAUUAUAUCGAACAUGGUCUGUUCUCCCUCUCUGUCGGUAUUGUACGCUAUAGCUUUUAUUUAACUAUGCCAAAAGAAAUAUAAAACAAUUUAGUAUUCAAAUUACAUCGUCCGAAUAAUAGAUAUAGUCUCGAAUACAUCAUCUCGAAUAAUAGAUAUAAUCUCGAAUACAUCGUCUGGAAUAAUAUAUAAUAUUGAAUAGUACAUCACUGGCUAGGUAGCUAAUUAAAGAUCGAAUACUACAGAAGAAUCUAGGACACUCGCGGUUCCUGCGGCGCGGUCGAUGGACACCCAAAGAGAAGGAACCCUCACAGGAUCAUAGCUGAAGUGAGAUCCCUGAAGAAACUGCCAGGUAUUGGAGAACCUGCCGCCCUCUAACGCAACCAUGUAGCAAUGGACAUGCUCGUCCUCCUCCCUGACACGGCGACGUACCACCUCCGACGGGGCCGGCUCCCUCCGCACCGAAGCUGGCCCACGCGAACGCCACCAAACGAGAUCAGGGUCGACGACGGGACUCGGGGCUGGGUUCCUCAUCAAGCGGCGCGCCCCUCCAGGCAGCACCUCCCAGUGCCAGUCCGGCGGAGCCCAGUCCCGGACAUGGGUCAGUCGGACGUCGUCGCGGACGGGUCGACGGCGAGGAUGCGGGUCGGGCAUCGUCGAGAACAAAUACUAGCUAUAUGCCCGCAAAAAGUAACAUUUUUUUAAUGAUUGGAUUUUGAUAACUAAAAUUUCUAACAUUUCUAUAUAACACUAAUUAUGCUAUCAUUGCAUAUGUCAAAAUUCUAUAUGUUAUUUCAUACUAAUUAAGCAUCUAACACUAAAACAGAAAACACAACUUUUAUACAUCCAUUAAAAAACUGAAAAAAAACAUUAUAUAAAAAAUUUCCAUACUAAUUAAACACUAAUUAUAUCCAUCUAACAUGCAUUCAUACAUAUAUACUAGUGAAAAAAUAAUAAUCUAAAAAAUCUAAACUAAUUAAACAUACAAAAUACGUAUAUACUAAUAUAUACAUGCAUUAAUUCAUACAUAUGUACGUCUGUGUGUGUGUGUGUGUGUUCAUCAUGCUUGUGUGUGUGUGUGUGUAUGGGCUCGGGGAGGGGCGGCGCCCAUGGUGGCCGUCGGGGGCGAGGGAGAAGGGUUAGAGGGGAAGAGCUCACAGCGGGGCGACGGCGACGGCGAGGCGACGACCGGGGGCGGCGACGAGCCGGGGCGUGACGCGGGGGCGGCGACGCGGUGAUGGCGCGACGGGGACGGGCCCGGGGCGGCGACGGAGACGAGGGCGGCGACGGGGACGGGGGCGGCGACGGCGAAGGCGUCGAUCGAUCGGGGCACGCGGGCGGUGCUUCAAUGGGGAAACAGAGAAAGAAACAGAGGGAGAAUGAAAUUUUUGUAAGUGUUGUAUAUAUAGAAGGCACCUUUAGUACCGGUUGGAGCCACCAACCGGUACUAAAGGCCUGUUUUGGCCAGGCCAAGCGGCGGGAACCGCACCCCCUUUAGUACCGGUUGGUGGCUCCAACCGGUACUAAAGGCCCCCCUUUAGUACCGGUUGGUGCCACAAACCGGUACUAAAGGGCGUGCGCUGGCGCAGGUGCGGUGCGCAAGUUUAGUCCCACCUUGCUAGCCAAGGGGCGACCGCACUGGUUUAUAAACCCCCGUGCGGUAGCUCUCUCGAGCUCCUCUCCAAAGCAGGCCUACUGGGCCUACAUGUUCUGUGCUGCCCUGUUGGCCUACUGGGCCUUUGCGGGUCUGCAUCCUGGCCCAACAACAGGUUGGGUUUCUAGUCGUAUGCAGGCCGCUCUGGCCUAGUAGGCGGGCUUUUUUUGCUUUAUUUAUUUUUGAGUUGUUUUUUUUGUGUAUUUAGAGUUUCUUUGUGAAUAUUUUUGCUUUAGGUACAAAAAAUUACAAACUUUCUGUUAGUGCCCGUAGUUUUCAAAUUUGAAUAGUUUAAAUUUUGAAUUAUUUAAAAUUAGUGUGAAUCACUAGUUUGUGAAUAACUUAACUUUAAAAAUCAGUAAAGGCAUGAAAGAAUUUGUUUGCACAUAAAAUUUCUUCGCGUUUCAAAUGCCAAAACACAUAAUUAACUACCCUAACUAUUACAGAGAUUCCCUUCUGGGUGUGAAACACAGAAGAAAGUGAUGAUAGUGAAGCCGAUCACAUCCCAGAUCUUUGGGUGUGAAACUUUUUCUUCGCGUGUGUCCCUUUGCGCCGUAACCAUAAAAAAUCUUCAUCAUUUAAUGGGAUGCUCGGGUCAAUAAUCACUGUGAAUGGAGCAAUUUCAUCAAACUUUUCAUAAUCUUCUGACUUGUCUGUCUUGUCAUUCACUCCCAUGAUGUUUCUCUUCCCAGAAAGAACUAUGUGCCGCUUUGACUCAUCGUACGAUGCAUUCGCUUCCUUAUCUUUUUUUUUCUUGGCUUGGUAGACAUGUCCUUCACAUAGAAAACCUGUGCCACAUCAUUGGCUAGGACGAAUGGUUCGUCUGCAUAUGCAAGAUUGUUGAGAUCCACUGUUGUCAUUCCGUACUGUGGGUCUUCCGUUACCCCGCCUCGUGUCAUAUUGACCCAUUUGCACCGAAACAAAGGGACCUUCAAACCACGUCGAUAGUCAAGUUCCCAUAUGUCCUGUAUAUAACCAUAAUAUGUUUCCUUUCCCGUCUUGGUUUCUGCAUCAAAGCGGACACCACUGUUUUGGUUGGUGCUCUUCUUAUCUUGGGUGAUCGUGUAAAAUGUAUUACCAUUUAUCUCGUACCCUUUGAAAGUCAUUAUAUUCGAAGAUGGUAACUGGGACAGCAAGUACAGGUCAUCUUCAAUAGAGGUGUCAUGCAUGGUACGUGUCUGCAACCAGCUGGCGAAACUCCUGAUUUGUUCACGUGUAAUCCAGUCAUCAGACCGCUCCGGGUGUUUGGAGCGUAGCAAAUUCUUGUGUUUAUCCAUAUACGGAGCCACGAAGGCGGAAUUCUAUAGAACUGUGUAGUGUGCUUCAGUGAGAGAAUGUCCGUCCAUACAUAUUAUUUGUUCCCUUCCUAGUGUGCCUUUUGUUGGGGAACGUAGCAAUAAUUCAAAAUUUUCCUACGUGUCACCAAGAUCAAUCUAUGGAGUCAUCUAGCAAUGAGGGAGGAGUGGAUCUACAUACCCUUGUAGAUCGCGCGUGGAAGCGUUCAAGAGAACGGGGUUGAUGGAGUCGUACUCGCCGUGAUCCAAAUCACCGAUGAUCCUAGCGCCGAACGGACGGCACCUCCGCGUUCAACACACGUACGGAGCAGCGACGUCUCCUCCUUGAUCCAGCAAGGGGGAAGGAGAGGUUGAUGGAGAUCCAGCAGCACGACGGCGUGGUGGAGGAAGUAGCGGGAUUCCAACAGGGCUUCGCCAAGCGCCGCGGGAGGAGGGAGAUGUGUCAUGGGAGGGAGAGGGAGGCGCCAGGGCUUAGGUAUGGUUGCCCUCCCUUCCCCCCACUAUAUAUAGGGCCAAGGGAGAGGGGGGAGGCGCAGCCUUGGCCCUACCUCCAAGGAAGGGUGCGGCCAAGGGGGGGAGGAGUCCAUCCUCCCCAAGGCACCUCAGAGGUGCCUUCCCCUUUAGGACUCUCCCCUCCUCUUGUCCCUUUGGCGCAUGGCCCUCUAGGGGCUGGUGCCCUUGGCCCAUGUAGGCCAAGGCACACCCCCUAUAGCCCAUGUGUCCCCCGGGGGCAGGUGGCCCCACCCGGUAGACCCCCGAGACCCUUCCGGUGGUCCCGGUACAAUACCGGUGACCCCGAAACUUGUCACGAUGGCCGAAAUAGCACUUCCUAUAUAUAAUUCUUUACCUCCGGACCAUUCCGGAACUCCUCGUAAUGUCCAGGAUCUCAUCCAGGACUCCGAACAACUUUCGGGUUACCGCAUACUAAUAUCUCUAUAACCCUAGCGUCACUGAACCUUAAGUGUGUAGACCCUACGGGUUCGGGAGACACGUAGACAUGACCGAGACGACUCUCCGGCCAAUAACCAACAGCGGGAUCUGGAUACCCAUGUUGGUUCCCACAUGUUCCACGAUGAUCUUAUCGGAUGAACCACGAUGUCAAGGACUUAAUCAAUCCCGUAUACAAUUCCCUUUGUCUAGCGGUACGAUACUUGCCCGAGAUUCGAUCGUCGGUAUCCCGAUACCUUGUUCAAUCUCGUUACCGGCAAGUCUCUUUACUCGUUUCGUAACACACCAUCCCGUGAUCAACUCCCUGAUCACAUUGUGCACAUUAUGAUGAUGUCCUACCGAGUGGGCCCAGAGAUACCUCUCCGUUUACACGGAGUGACAAAUCCCAGUCUCGAUUCGUGCCAACCCAACAGACACUUUCGGAGAUACCUGUAGUGUACCUUUAUAGCCACCCAGUUACGUUGUGACGUUUGGCACACCCAAAGCACUCCUAUGGUAUCCGGGAGUUGCACAAUCUCAUGGUCUAAGGAAACGAUACUUGACAUUUUAGAAAAGCUUUAGCAUACGAACUACAUGAUCUUUGUGCUAGGCUUAGGAUUGGGUCUUGUGUUGGAAAUAUGCCCUAGAGGCAAUAAUAAAAGUAUUAUUAUAUUUCAUUGUUCAUGAUAAUUGUCUUUUAUUCAUGCUAUAACUGUAUUAUCCGGAAAUCGUAAUACACGUGUGAAUACAUAGACCUCAAUAUGUCCCUAGUGAGCCUCUAGUUGACUAGCUCGUUGUGAUCAACAGAUAGUCAUGAUUUCCUGGCUAUGGACAUUGGAUGUCGUUGAUAACGGGAUCACAUCAUUAGGAGAAUGAUGUGAUGGACAAGACCCAAUCCUAAGCAUAGCACAAAGGUCGUUUAGUUCGUUUGCUAGAGCUUUGCCAAUGUCAAGUAUCUCUUCCUUAGACCAUGAGAUCGUGUAACUCCCGGAUACCGUAGGAGUGCCUUGGGUGUAUCAAAUGUCACAACGUAACUGGGUGACUAUAAAGGUGCAUUACAGGUAUCUCCGAAAGUAGCUGUUGGGUUGACACGGAUCGAGACUGGGAUUUGUCACUCCGUAUGACGGAGAGGUAUCUCUGGGCCCACUCGGUAAUGCAUCAUCAUAAUGAGCUCAAGGUGACCAAAGUGUUGGCCACGAGAUCAUGCAUUACGGUACGAGUAAAGUGACUUGCCGGUAACGAGACUGAACAAGGUAUUGGGAUACCGACGAUCGAGUCUCGGGCAAGUAACGUACCGAUUGACAAAGGGAAUUGUAUACAGGGUUUGAUCAAAUCCUCGACAUCGUGGUUCAUCCGAUGACAACAUCGAGAAGCAUGUGGGAGCCAACAUGGGUAUCCAGAUCCCGCUGUUGGUUAUUGACCGGAGAACGUCUCGGUCAUGUCUACAUGUCUCCCGAACCCGUAGGGUCUACACACUUAAGGUUCGAUGACGCUAGGGUUAUAAAGGAAGUUUGUAUGUGGUUACCGAAUGUUGUUCGGAGUCCCGGAUGAGAUCCCGGACGUCACGAGGAGUUCCAGAAUGGUCCGGAGGUAAAGAUUUAUAUAUGGGAAGUCCUAUUUUGGCCACCGGAAAAUGUUCGGGAUUUUUCGGUAUUGUACUGGGAAGGUUCUAGAAGGUUCCGGAGUGGGGCCCACCUGCAUGGGGGGACCCACAUGAACGUGAGUAGUGGGGAAAGGCCCCACACCCCUGGUCAAGGCGCACCAAGAUCCCCCCUUAGAAGGAAUAAGAUCAUAUCCCGAAGGGAUAAGAUCAAGAUCCCUAAAAAGGGGGGAUAACAAUCGGUGGGGAAGGAAAUGAUGGGAUUUCUUUCCUCCCACCUUGGCCAACGCCCCAAUGGACUUGGAGGGCAAGAAACCAGCCCCUCCACCCCUAUAUAUAGUGGGGAGGCGCAUGGGAGCUUAACACAAGCCAAGGCGCAGCCCCUCCCCUCCCCAACACCUCUCCUCCUCCGUAUAUGCUUGGCGAAGCCCUGUCGGAGUACUGCUGCACCAACUACACCACGCCGUCGUGCUGCCGUUGGAGCAAUCUUCCUCAACCUCUCCUUCCCCCUUGCUGGAUCAAGAAGGAGGAGACGUCUCCCGUCCCGUACGUGUGUUGAACGCGGAGGUGCUGUCUGUUCAGCACUUGGACAUCGGUGAUCCGAAUCACGUUCGAGUACGACUCCAUCAUCACCAUCCCCUUUGCUAGCUUCCGCUCGUGAUCUACAAGUGGUAUGUAGAUGCAAACUCUCUCCCUUGACUCGUUGCUUAUAUGAACUCAUAGAUGGAUCUUGGUGAAACCGUAGGAAAAAUUUUAAUUUUCUGCAACGUUCCCCAACAGUGGCAUCAUGAGCUAGGUCUAUGCGUAGUUCUCUUUGCACGAGUAGAACACAAUUUUGUUGUGGGCGUGGAUUUUGUCAUCUUACUUGCCUCUACUAGUGUUUUCUUGCUUCGGCGGUAUUGUGGGAUGAAGCGGCCCGGACCAACCUUACACGUACGCUUACGUGAGACCGGUUCCACCGACUGACAUGCACUAGUUGCAUAAGGUGGCUGGCGGGUGUCUGUCUCUCCCACUUUAGUUGGAGCGGAUUCGAUGAAAAGGGCCCUUAUGAAGGGUAAAUAGAAGUUGACAAAAUCACGUUGUGGUUAUUCGUAGGUAAGAAAACAUUCUUGCUAGAACCCAAUUGCAGCCACGUAAAAGAUGCAACAACAAUUAGAGGACGCCUAACUUGUUUUUGCAGCGAUUGAUCAUGUGAUGUGAUAUGGCCAGAAGUUGUGAUGAAUGAUGAAUUGUGAUGUAUGAGAUCAUGUUCUUUGUAAUAGGAUUCAUGACUUGCAUGUUGAUGAGUAUGACAACCGGCAGGAGCCAUAGGAGUUGUCUUUAUUUUUUGUAUGACCUGCGUGUCAUUGAAGAACGCCAUGUAACUCACUUUACUUUAUUGCUAAACGCGUUAGCCAUAGAAGUAGAAGUAGUCGUUGGCGUGACAACUUCAUGAAGACACGAUGAUGGAGAUCAUGAUGAUGGAGAUCAUGGUGUCAAGCCGGUGACAAGAUGAUCAUGGAGCCCCGAAGAUGAAGAUCAAUGGAGCUAUAUGGUAUUGGCCAUAUCAUGUCACAACUAUAUAAUUGCAUGUGAUGUUUAUUAUGUUUAUGCAUCUUGUUUACUUAGGACGACGGUAGUAAAUAAGAUGAUCCCUUACAAAAAUUUCAAGAAGUGUUCUCCCCUAACUGUGCAUCGUUGCUACAGUUCGUCGCUUCUAAGCACCACGUGAUGAUCGGGUGUGAUGGAUUCUUACGUUCACAUACAACGGGUGUAAGACAGUUUUACACAGCGAAAACACUUAGGGUUAACUUGACGAGCCUAGCAUGUGCAGACAUGGCCUCGGAACACGGAGACCGAAAGGUCGAACACGAGUCGUAUGGAAGAUACGAUCAACAUGAGAAUGUUCACCGACGAUGACUAGUCCGUCUCACGUGAUGAUCGGACACGGCCUAGUCGACUCGGAUCGUGUAACACUUAGAUGACUAAAGGGAUGUCUAAUCUGAGUGGGAGUUCAUAAUUUGAUUAGAACUUAAUUAUCAUGAACUUAGUCUAAAACCUUUGCAAAUAUGUCUUGUAGAUCAAAUGGCCAACGCUCAUGUCAACAUGAACUUCAACGUGUUCCUAGAGAAAACCAAGCUGAAAUAUGAUGGCAGCAACUAUACGGACUGGGUCCGGAACCUGAGGAUCAUCCUCAUAGCUGCUAGGAAACAAUAUGUCCUAGAAGGACCGCUAGGUGACGCUCCCGUCCCAGAGAACCAAGACAUUAUGAAUGCUUGGCAAACUCGCGCUGAUGAUUACUCCCUCGUUCAGUGCGGCAUGCUUUACAGCUUAGAACCGGGGCUCCAAAAGCGUUUUGAGCAUCACGGAGCAUAUGAGAUGUUCGAAGAGCUGAAACUAGUUUUCCAAGCUCAUGCCCGGGUCGAGAGAUAUGAUGUCUUCGACAAGUUCUACAGUUGUAAGAUGGAGGAAAACAGUUCUGUCAGUGAGCACAUCCUGAAGAUGUCUGGGUUGCACAACCGUAUGACCCAGCUGAACAUUAACCUCCCAGAUGAGGCGGUCAUUGACAGAAUCCUCCAGUCGCUCCCACCAAGCUACAAGAGCUUUGUGAUGAACUACAACAUGCAGGGAAUGGAAAAGACCAUUCCUGAAGUGUUCUCGAUGCUGAAGUCAGCAGAGGCUGAAAUCAAGAAAGAACAUCAAGUGUUGAUGGUCAAUAAGACCACUAAGUUCAAGAAGGGCAAGGGUAAGAAGAACUUCAAGAAGGACGGCAAGGAGGUUGCCGUGCCUGGUAAGCCAGUUACCGGGAAGAAGUCAAAGAAUGGACCUAAGCCUGAGACUGAGUGCUUUUAUUGCAAGGGGAAGGGUCACUGGAAGUGGAACUACCCCAAAUACUUAGCAGAUAAGAAGGCCGACAAAACCAAAGGUAUAUUUGAUAUACAUGUAAUUGAUGUGUACCUUACCAGUACUCGAAGUAACUCCUGGGUAUUUGAUACCGGUGCCGUUGCUCAUAUUUGUAACUCACAGCAGGAGCUGCGGAAUAAACGGAGACUGGCGAAGGACGAGGUGACGAUGCGCGUCGGGAAUGGUUCCAGAGUCGAUGUGAUCGCCGUCGGCACGCUGCCUCUACAUUUACCUACGGGAUUAGUUUUGAACCUUAAUAAUUGUUAUUUAGUGCCAAGUUUGAGCAUGAACAUUGUAUCUGGAUCUCGUUUAAUACGAGAUGGCUACUCAUUUAAGUCUGAGAAUAAUGGUUGUUCGAUUUAUAUGAGAGAUAUGUUUUAUGGUCGUGCUCCGAUGGUCAAUGGUUUAUUCUUAAUGAAUCUCGAGCGUAAUAUUACACAUGUUCAUAGUGUAGAUGCCAAAAGAUGUAAAGUUGAUAACGAUAGUCCCACAUACUUGUGGCACUGCCGCCUUGGUCACAUUGGUGUCAAGCGCAUGAAGAAGCUCCAUGCCGAUGGACUUUUAGAGUCUCUUGAUUAUGAAUCGUUUGACACGUGCGAACCAUGCCUCAUGGGCAAGAUGACCAAGACUUCGUUCUCCGGAACAAUGGAGCGAGCAACCAACUUAUUGGAAAUCAUACAUACCGAUGUGUGCGGUCCAAUGAGCGUUGAGGCUCGCGGAGGAUAUCGUUAUGUUCUCACUCUCACUGAUGACUUAAGUAGAUAUGGGUAUGUCUACUUAAUGAAACACAAGUCUGAGACCUUUGAAAAGUUCAAGGAAUUUCAGAAUGAGGUGGAGAAUCAACGUGACCGAAAGAUAAAGUGCCUACGAUCAGAUCGUGGAGGAGAAUAUUUAAGUCACGAAUUUGGCACACACUUAAGGAAAUGUGGAAUCGUUUCACAACUCACGCCACCUGGAACACCUCAGCGAAACGGUGUGUCCGAACGUCGUAAUCGCACUCUAUUGGAUAUGGUGCGGUCUAUGAUGUCUCUUACUGAUUUACCGCUAUCAUUUUGGGGAUACGCUCUAGAGACAGCUACAUUCACUUUAAAUAGGGCACCGUCUAAAUCCGUUGAGACGACACCGUAUGAAUUAUGGUUUGGGAAGAAACCUAAGCUGUCGUUUCUAAAAGUUUGGGGAUGCGAUGCUUAUGUCAAGAAACUUCAACCUGAAAAGCUCGAACCCAAGUCGGAAAAAUGCGUCUUCAUAGGAUACCCUAAGGAAACUGUCGGGUAUACCUUCUACUUAAGAUCCGAGGGCAAAAUCUUUGUUGCCAAGAACGGAUGCUUUCUGGAAAAAGAGUUUCUCUCCAAAGGAGGAAGUGGGAGGAAAGUAGAACUCGAUGAAGUACUACCUCUCGAACGGGAAAGUGGUGCAGCUCAGGAAAAUGUUCCUGUGAUGCCCACACCAACUGAAGAGGAAACCAAUGAUGAUGAUCAAGGUACUUCGGAUCAAGUUGCUACUGAACUUCGUAGGUCCACAAGGACACGUUCCGCACCAGAGUGGUACGGCAACCCCGUCCUGGAAAUCAUGUUGUUAGACAACGGUGAACCUUCGAACUAUGAAGAAGCGAUGGCGGGCCCAGAUUCCAACAAAUGGCUUGAAGCCAUGAAAUCCAAGAUAGAAUCCAUGUAUGAAAACAAAGUAUGGACUUUGACAGACUUGCCCGAUGAUCGGCGAGCGAUAGAAAACAAAUGGAUCUUUAAGAAGAAGACAGACGCGGAUGGUAAUGUCACCAUCUAUAAAGCUCGACUUGUCGCUAAGGGUUAUCGACAGGUUCAAGGGAUUGACUACAACGAGACAUUCUCUCCCGUAGCGAAGCUAAAGUCCGUCUGAAUCAUGUUAGCAAUUGCCGCAUACUAUGAUUAUGAGAUAUGGCAGAUGGACAUCAAAACAGCAUUCCUUAACGGGCAUCUUAAGGAAGAACUGUAUAUGAUGCAGCCGGAAGGUUUUGUUGAUCCUAAGAACGCUAACAAAGUAUGCAAGCUCCAGCGAUCCAUUUAUGGGCUGGUGCAAGCAUCUCGGAGUUGGAAUAUUCGCUUUGAUGAGAUGAUCAAAGCGUUUGGGUUUAUGCAGACUUAUGGAGAAGCCUGCGUUUACAAGAAAGUGAGUGGGAGCUCUGUAGCAUUUCUCAUAUUAUAUGUAGAUGACAUACUCUUGAUGGGAAAUAAUAUAGAAUUUCUGGACAGCAUUAAGGCCUACUUGAAUAAGUGUUUUUCAAUGAAGGACCUUGGAGAAGCUGCUUACAUAUUAGGCAUCAAGAUCUAUAGAGAUAGAUUGAGACGCCUCAUAGGUCUUUCACAAAGCACAUACCUUGAUAAGAUUUUGAAGAGGUUCAAAAUGGAUCGGUCCAAGAACGGGUUCUUGCCUAUGUUACAAGGUGUGAGAUUGAGCUCGGCUCAGUCACCGACCACGGCAAAAGAUAAAGAAGAGAUGAGUGUCAUCCCCUAUGCUUCAGCCAUAGGAUCUAUUAUGUAUGCCAUGCUGUGUACCAGACCUGAUGUAAACCUUGCCGUGAGUUUGGUAGCUAGAUACCAAAGUAAUCCCGGCAAGGAACACUGGACAGCAGUCAAGAAUAUCCUGAAGUACCUGAAAAGGACAAAGGACAUGUUUCUCGUUUAUGGAGGAGACGAAGAGCUUGUCGUAAAGGAUUACGUCGACGCUAGCUUCGACUCAGAUCCGGAUGACUCUAAGUCACAAACCGGAUACGUGUAUAUGUUGAAUGGUGGAGCAGUAAGCUGGUGCAGCUGCAAGCAGAGCGUCGUGGCGGGAUCUACGUGUGAAGCGGAGUACAUGGCAGCCUCGGAGGUAGCGCAUGAAGCGAUUUGGGUGAAGGAGUUCAUCACCGACCUAGGAGUCAUGCCCAAUGCGUCGGGGCCAAUCAAACUCUUCUGUGACAACACUGGAGCUAUUGCCCUUGCCAAGGAGCCCAGGUUUCACAAGAAGACCAGGCACAUCAAGCGUCGUUUCAACUCCAUCCGUGAAAAUGUUCAAGAUGGAGACAUAGAAAUUUGCAAAGUACAUACGGAUCUGAAUGUCGCAGAUCCGUUGACUAAACCUCUCUCGCGAGCUAAACAUGAUCAACACCAGAACUCUAUGGGCGUUCGAUUCAUCACAAUGUAACUAGAUUGGUGACUCUAGUGCAAGUGGGAGACUGUUGGAAAUAUGCCCUAGAGGCAAUAAUAAAAGUAUUAUUAUAUUUCAUUGUUCAUGAUAAUUGUCUUUUAUUCAUGCUAUAAUUGUAUUAUCCGGAAAUCGUAAUACACGUGUGAAUACAUAGACCUCAAUAUGUCCCUAGUGAGCCUCUAGUUGACUAGCUCGUUGUGAUCAACAGAUAGUCAUGAUUUCCUGGCUAUGGACAUUGGAUGUCGUUGAUAACGGGAUCACAUCAUUAGGAGAAUGAUGUGAUGGACAAGACCCAAUCCUAAGCAUAGCACAAAGGUCGUUUAGUUCGUUUGCUAGAGCUUUGCCAAUGUCAAGUAUCUCUUCCUUAGACCAUGAGAUCGUGUAACUCCCAGAUACCGUAGGAGUGCCUUGGGUGUAUCAAACGUCACAACGUAACUGGGUGACUAUAAAGGUGCAUUACAGGUAUCUCCGAAAGUAGCUGUUGGGUUGACACGGAUCGAGACUGGGAUUUGUCACUCCGUAUGACGGAGAGGUAUCUCUGGGCCCACUCGGUAAUGCAUCAUCAUAAUGAGCUCAAGGUGACCAAAGUGUUGGCCACGAGAUCAUGCAUUACGGUACGAGUAAAGUGACUUGCCGGUAACGAGACUGAACAAGGUAUUGGGAUACCGACGAUCGAGUCUCGGGCAAGUAACGUACCGAUUGACAAAGGGAAUUGUAUACAGGGUUUGAUCGAAUCCUCGACAUCGUGGUUCAUCCGAUGACAACAUCGAGAAGCAUGUGGGAGCCAACAUGGGUAUCCAGAUCCCGCUGUUGGUUAUUGACCGGAGAACGUCUCGGUCAUGUCUACAUGUCUCCCGAACCCGUAGGGUCUACACACUUAAGGUUCGAUGACGCUAGGAUUAUGAAGGAAGUUUGUAUGUGGUUACCGAAUGUUGUUCGGAGUCCCGGAUGAGAUCCCGGACGUCACGAGGAGUUCCGGAAUGGUCCGGAGGUAAAGAUUUAUAUAUGGGAAGUCCUAUUUUGGCCACCGGAAAAUGUUCGGGAUUUUUCGGUAUUGUGCCGGGAAGGUUCUAGAAGGUUCCGGAGUGGGGCCCACCUGCAUGGGGGGACCCACAUGAACGUGAGUAGUGGGGGAAAGGCCCCACACCCCUGGUCAAGGCGCACCAAGAUCCCCCCUUAGAAGGAAUAAGAUCAUAUCCCGAAGGGAUAAGAUCAAGAUCCCUAAAAAGGGGGGAUAACAAUCGGUGGGGAAGGAAAUGAUGGGAUUUCUUUCCUCCCACCUUGGCCAACGCCCCAAUGGACUUGGAAGGCAAGAAACCAACCCCUCCACCCCUAUAUAUAGUGGGGAGGCGCAUGGGAGCUUAACACAAGCCAAGGCGCAGCCCCUCCCCUCCCCAACACCUCUCCUCCUCCGUAUAUGCUUGGCGAAGCCCUGUCGGAGUACUGCUGCACCAACUACACCACGCCGUCGUGCUGCCGUUGGAGCAAUCUUCCUCAACCUCUCCUCCCCCCUUGCUGGAUCAAGAAGGAGGAGACGUCUCCCGUCCCGUACGUGUGUUGAACGCGGAGGUGCUGUCCGUUCAGCACUUGGACAUCGGUGAUCCGAAUCACGUUCGAGUACGACUCCAUCAUCACCAUCCCCUUGGCUAGCUUCCGCUCGUGAUCUACAAGUGGUAUGUAGAUGCAAACUCUCUCCCUUGACUCGUUGCUUAGAUGAACUCAUAGAUGGAUCUUGGUGAAACCGUAGGAAAAAUUUUAAUUUUCUGCAACGUUCCCCAACAUCUUGUCCAUCACAUCAUUCUCCUAAUGAUGUGAUCCCGUUAUCAAUGACAUCCAAUGUCCAUGGUCAGAAAACCGUAACCAUCUAUUGAUCAACGAGCUAGUCAACUAGAGGCUUACUAGGGACAUGGUGUUGUCUAUGUAUCCACAGAUGUAUCUGAGUUUCCUAUCAAUACAAUUCUAGCAUGGAUAAUAAACGAUUAUCAUGAACAAGGAAAUAUAAUAAUAACUAAUUUAUUAUUGCCUCUAGGGCAUAUUUCCAACAGUCUCCCACUUGCACUAGAGUCAAUAAUCCAGUUCACAUCGAUAUGUGAUUAACACUCAAGGUCACAUCCCCAUGUGACUAACACCCAAAGAGUUUACUAGAGUCAAUAAUCUAGUUCACAUUACCAUGUGAUUAACACUCGAUGAGUUCUGGGUUUGAUCAUGUUAUGCUUGUGAGAGAUGUUAUAGUCAACGGGUCUGAAUCUUUCAGAUCCGUAUGUACUUCGCAAAUCUCUAUGUCAUCUUGUAGAUGCAGCUACUACGCUAUAUUUGGAGCUAUUCCAAAUAACUGUUCUACUAUACGAAUCCAGUCCACUACUCAGAAUAAUCUGGAUUAGUGUCAAAGUUUGCAUCGGCGUAACCCUUUACGACGAACUCUUUUACCACCUCCAUAAUCAAGAAAAUUCCUUAGUCCACUAGUUACUAAGGAUAACUUUGACCGCUGUCCUGUGAUCCAUUCUUGGAUCACUCUUGUACCCCUUGACUAACUCAUGGCAAGGCACACUUCAGGUGCGGUACACAGCAUAACAUACUGUAGAGAGCCUAUGAUAAAAGCAUAGGGGACGACCUUCGUCCUUCCUCUUUCUUCUGUCGUGGUCGAGCUUUAAGUCUUAACUUCAUACCUUACAACUCAGGCAAGAACUCCUUCUUUGACUGAUCCAUCUUGAACACCUUCAAGAUCAUGUCAAGGUAUGUGCUCAUUUGAAAGUACCAUUAAGCGUUUUGAUCUGUCCUUAUAGAUCUUGAUGCUCAAUGUUCAAGUAGCUUAAUCCAGGCUUUCCAUUGAAAAACACUUUCCAAAUAACCCUAUAUGCUUUCCAGAAAUUCUACGUCAUUUAUGAUCAACAAUAUGUCAACAACAUAUAUUUAUCAGAAAUUCUAUAGUGCUCCCACUCACUUCUUUGGAAAUACAAGUUUCUCAUAAACUUUGUAUAAACCCAAAAUCUUUGAUCAUCAUCAAAGCAUACAUUCCAACUCCGAGAUGCUUACUCCAGUCCCUAGAAGGAUUGCUGGAGCUUUGCAUACUUAUUAGCAUCUUUCAGGAUUGACAAAACCUUCCGGUUGUAUCACAUACAACCUUUCCUCAAGAAAAUCGUCGAGGAAACAAUGUUUUGACAUCCUAUCUGCAAGAUUUCAUAAAUAAUGCAGUAAUCGCUAAUAUAAUUCCAACAGACUCUUAGCAUCGCUACGAGUGAGAAAGUCUCAUCGUAGUCAACUCCUUGAACUUGUCGGAAAACAUCUUAACGACAAGUCGAGCUUUCUUAAUGGUGAUACUUACCAUCAUUGUCCGUCUUCCUUUCAAAAUCCAUAUGUACCUAAUAGCCUUACGACCAUCAAGUAGUUCUUCCAAAGUCUACACUUUGUUUUCAUACAUGGAUCCUAUCUCGGAUUUUAUGGCCUCGAGCCAUUUAUCGGAAUCCGGGCCCACCAUCGCUUCUCCAUGGCUCGUAGGUUCAUUGUUGUCUAGCAACAUGACUUCCAAGACAGGAUUACGUACCACUCUAAAGUAGUACGCAUCCUUGUCAUCCCACGAGGUUUGGUAGUGACUUGAUCUGAAGUUUCAUGAUCACUAUCAUAAGCUUCCACUUCAAUUGGUGUAGGUGCCACAGGAACAACUCUUGUGCCCUGCCACACACUAGUUGAAGAGACGGUUCAAUAACCUCAUCAAGUCUCCACCAUCCUCCCACUCAAUUCUUUCGAGAGAAACUUUUCCUCGAGAAAGGACCCGAUUCUAGAAACAAUCCCUUAUUGCUUUCGGAUCUGAGACAGGAGGUAUACCCAACUGUUUUGGGUGUCCUAUGAAGAUGCAUUUAUCCGCUUUGGGUUCGAGCUUAUCAGCCUGAAACUUUUUCACAUAAGCGUCGCAGCCCCAAACUUUUAAGAAAUGACAGCUUGGGUUUCUCUAAACCAUAGUUCAUACGGUGUCAUCUCAUCGGAAUUAUGUGGUGCCCUAUUUAAAGUGAAUGUGGUUGUCUUUAAUGCCUAACCCAUAAACUAUCGUGGUAAUUCGAUAAGAGACAUCAUGGUAUGCAUCAUAUCCAAUAGGGUGCAGUUAUGAUGUUCGGACACACCAUCACACUAUGGUGUUCCAGGCUGUAUUAGUUGUGAAACAAUUUCCACAAUGUCUUAAUUCUGUGCCAAACUCGUAAUUCAGAUAUUCAUCUCUAUGAUCAUAUCAUAGAUCUUUUAUCCUCUUGUCACAACGAUCUUUCAACUUCACCCUGAAAUUACUUGAACCUUUCAAUAAUUCAGACUCGUGAUUCAUCAAGUAAAUAUACUCAACAUCUACUCAAAUCAUCUAUGAAGUAAGACCAUAACGAUAUCCACUACACGCCUCAUCACUCAUUGGACUGCACACAUCAAAAAUGUAUUACUUCCAACAAGUUGCUUUCUAGUUCCAUUUUACUGAAAACGAGGCUUUCAGUCAUCUUGCCCAUGUGGUAUGAUUUGCAUGUCUCAAGUGAUUCAAAAUCAAGUGAGUCCAAACGAUCCAUUUGCAUGGAGUUUCUUCAUGCAUAUACACCAAUAGACAUGGCUCGCAUGUCUCAAACUUUUCAAAAACGAGUGAGCCCAAAGAUCCAUCAACAUGGAGCUUCUUCAUGCGUUUUACACCGAUAUGACUUACGUGGCAGUGCCAUAAGUAGGCGGUACUAUCAUUACUAUCCUAUAUCUUUUGGCAUGAACAUGUGUAUCACUACGAUCAAGAUUCAGUAAACCAUUCAUUUCAGGUGUAAGACCAUUGAAGGUAUUAUUCAAAUAAACAGAGUAACCAUUAUUCUCUUUAAAUGAAUAACCGUAUUGCGAUAGUCAUAAUCCAAUCAUGUCUAUGCUCAACGCAAACACCAAUCUCGAUGGUAGAGGGAGCGUGCGAUGCUUGAUCAUAUCAACAUUGGAAACACUUCCAACACAUAUCGUCAGCUCACCUUUAGCUAGUCUCCGUUUAUUCCGUAGCUUUUAUUUCGAGUUACUAACACUUAGCAACCGAACCGGUAUCCAAUAUCAUGGUGCUACUAGGAGUACUAGUAAAGUACACAUCAACACAAUGUAUAUCCAAUAUACGUCUAUCGACCUUGCCAGCCUUCUCAUCUACCAAGUAUCUAGGGUAAUUCUGCUCCAGUGGCUGUUCCCCUUAUUACAGAAGCACUUAGUCUCGGGUUUGGGUUCAACCUUGGGUUUCUUCACUAGAGCAGCAGCUGAUUUGCCAUUUCAUGAAGCAUCCCUUUUGCCCUUGCCCUCCUUGGAACUAGUGGUUUCACAAACCAUCAACAAUUGAUGCUCCUUCUUGAUCUCUACUUUUGUGGUGUCAAACAUCGCGAAUAUCUCAAGGAUCAUCAUAUAUGUCCCUGAUAUAUUAUAGUUCAUCACGAAGCUCAAACAGCUUGGUGGUAAUGACUUCGGAUAAACAUCACUAUAUCAUCUGGAAGAUCAACUCCCACUCGAUUCAAAUGAUUGUUGUACUCAGACAAUCUGAGCACAAGUUCAACAAUUGAGCUUUUCUCCCUUAGUUUGCAGGCUAAGAAAAUUGUCGGUGGUCUUAUACCUCUUGACGUGGGCACGAGCCUGAAAUCCCAAUUUCAACCCUCGAAACAUCUCAUAUGUUUCGCGACGUUUCAAAACGUCUUCGGUGCCUCAACUCUAAACCGUUUAACUGAACUAUCACGUAGUUAUCAAAAUGUGUAUGUCAGAUGUUCGCAACAUCCACAGACAACGUUCGAGGUUCAGCACACUGAGCGGUGCAUUAAGGACAUAAGCCUUCUAUGAAGCAAUGAGGACAAUCCUCAGUUUACGGACCUAGUCCGUAUAAUUGAUACUACCAACUUUCAACUAAAUUUUCUCUAGGAACAUAUCUAAACAGUAGAACUAAAACGCGAGCUACGACAUAAUUUGCGAAGAUCUUUUGACUAUGUUCGGGAUAAUUAAGUUCAUCUUAUGAACUCCCACUCAGAUAGACAUCCCUCUAGUCAUCUAAGUGAUUACAUGAUCCGAGUCAACUAGGCCGUGUCCGAUCAUCACGUGAGACGGACUAGUCAACAUCGGUGAACAUCUUCAUGUUGAUCGUAUCUACCAUAUGACUCAUGCUCGACCUUUCGGUCUCUCAUGUUCCGAGGCCAUGUCUGUACACAUGCUAGGCUCGUCAAGUCAACCUAAGUGUUUCGCGUGUGUAAAUCUGUCUUACACCUGUUGUAUGUGAACGUAAGAAUCUAUCACACCCGAUCAUCACGUGGUGCUUCGAAACGACGAACUUUCGUAACGGUGCACAGUUAGGGGGAACACUUUCUUGAAAUUUUAAUGAGGGAUCAUCUUAUUUACUACCAUCGUUCUAAGCAAAUAAGAUGUAUAAACAUGAUAAACAUCACAUGCAAUCAAAUAGUGACAUGAUAUGGCCAAUAUCAUAUUGCUCCUUUUGAUCUCCAUCUUUGGGGCUCCAUGAUCAUCAUCGUCAACGGCAUGACACCAUGAUCUCCAUCAUCAUGAUCUCCAUCAUUGUGUCUCCAUGAAGUUGUCUCGCCAACUUAUUACUUCUACUACUACAGCUAACGGGUAGCAAUAAAGUAAAGUAAUUACAUGACGUUUAUGUUGACACGCAGGUCAUAAAUAAGUUAAGACAACUCCUAUGGCUCCUGCCGGUUGUCAUACUCAUCGACAUGCAAGUCAUGAUUCCUAUUACAAGAACAUGAUCAAUCUCAUACAUCACAUAUAUCAUUCAUCACAUCCUUUUGGCCAUAUCACAUCACAUAGCAUACCCUGCAAAAACAAGUUAGACGUCCUCUAAUUGUUGUUUGCAUGUUUUACGUGGCUGCUAUGGGUUUCUAGCAAGAACGUUUCUUACCUAUGCAAAAACCACAACGUGAUAUGCCAAUUGCUAUUUACCCUUCAUAAGGACCCUUUUCAUCGAAUCUGAUCCAACUAAAGUGGGAGAGACAGACACCCGCCAGCCACCUUAUGCAACUAGUGCAUGUCAAUCGGUGGAACCGGUCUCACGUAAGCGUACGUGUAAGGUUGGUCCGGGCCGCUUCAUCCCACGAUGCCGCCGAAUCAAGAUUGGACUAGUAACGGUAAGCAUAUUGAACAAAAUCAACGCCCACAACUACUUUGUGUUCUACUCGUGCAUAGAAACUACGCAUAGACCUAGCUCAUGAUGCCACUGUUGGGGAACGUAGCAAUAAUUCAAAAUUUUCCUACGUGUCACCAAGAUCAAUCUAAGGAGUCAUCUAGCAACAAGGGAGGAGUGGAUCUACAUACCCUUGUAGAUCACGCGCGGAAGCGUUCAAGAGAACGGGGUUGAUGGAGUCGUACUCGCCGUGAUCCAAAUCACCGAUGAUCCUAGCGCCGAACGGACGGCACCUCCGCGUUCAACACACGUACGGAGCAGCGACGUCUCCUCCUUCUUGAUCCAGCAAGGGGGAAGGAGAGGUUGAUGGAGAUCCAACAGCACGACGGCGUGGUGGAGGAAGUAGCGGGAUUCCAACAGGGCUUCGCCAAGCGCUGCGGGAGGAGGGAGAUGUGUCAUGGGAGGGAGAGGGAGGUGCCAGGGCUUAGGUAUGGUUGCCCUCCCUUCCCCCCACUAUAUAUAGGGCCAAGGGAGAGGGGGGAGGCGCAGCCUUGGCCCUUCCUCCAAGGAAGGGUGCGGCCAAGGGGGGGAGGAGUCCAUCCUCCCCAAGGCACCUCGGAGGUGCCUUCCCCUUUAGGACUCUCCCCUCCUCUUGUCCCUUUGGUGCAUGGGCCUCUAGGGGCUGGUUCCCUUGGCCCAUGUAGGCCAAGGCGCACCCCCUACAGCCCAUGUGGCCCCCGGGGGCAGGUGGCCCCACCCGGUGGACCCCCGGGACCCUUCCGGUGGUCCCGGUACAAUACCGGUGACCCCGAAACUUGUCCCGAUGGCCGAAAUAGCACUUCCUAUAUAUAAUUCUUUACCUCCGGACCAUUCCGGAACUCCUCGUGACGUCCGGGAUCUCAUCUGGGACUCCGAACAACUUUCGGGUUACCGCAUACUAAUAUCUCUAUAACCCUAGCGUCACCGAACCUUAAGUGUGUAGACCCUACGGGUUCGGGAGACACGUAGACAUGACCGAGACGACUCUCCGGCCAAUAACCAACAACGGGAUCUGGAUACCCAUGUUGGUUCCCACAUGUUCCACGAUGAUCUCAUCGGAUGAACCACGAUGUCAAGGACUUAAUCAAUCCCGUAUACAAUUCCCUUUGUCUAGCAGUACGAUACUUGCCCGAGAUUCGAUCAUCGGUAUCCCGAUACCUUGUUCAAUCUCGUUACCGGCAAGUCUCUUUACUCGUUUCGUAACACAUCAUCCCGUGAUCAACUCCUUGAUCACAUUGUGCACAUUAUGAUGAUGUCCUACCGAGUGGGCCCAGAGAUACCUCUCCGUUUACACGGAGUGACAAAUCCCAGUCUCGAUUCGUGCCAACCCAACAGACACUUUCGGAGAUACCUGUAGUGUACCUUUAUAGCCACCCAGUUACGUUGUGACGUUUGGCACACCCAAAGCACUCCUACGGUAUCCGGGAGUUGCACAAUCUCAUGGUCUAAGGAAACGAUACUUGACAUUUUAGAAAAGCUUUAGCAUACGAACUACAUGAUCUUUGUGCUAGGCUUAGGAUUGGGUCUUGUCCAUCACAUCAUUCUCCUAAUGAUGUGAUCCCGUUAUCAAUGACAUCCAAUGUCCAUGGUUAGGAAACCGUAACCAUCUAUUGAUCAACGAGCUAGUCAACUAGAGGCUUACUAGGGACAUGGUGUUGUCUAUGUAUCCACACAUGUAUCUGAGUUUCCUAUCAAUACAAUUCUAGCAUGGAUAAUAAACGAUUAUCAUGAACAAGGAAAUAUAAUAAUAACUAAUUUAUUAUUGCCUCUAGGGCAUAUUUCCAACACCUUUUCCAUCCAGUCUGCCCUUAUGCCGCGAUUCAGGAACACCAAUCGGCUUAAGGUCAGGAAUAAAGUCAAUACAAAACUCAAUGACCUCCUCAUUUUGACAGCCCUUGGAGAUGCUUCCUUCUGGCCUAGCACGGUUAUGAACAUAUUUCUUUAAGACUCCCAUGAACCUCUCAAAGGGGAACAUAUUGUGUAGAAAUACAGGACCCAAAACGUUAAUCUCUUCGCAUAGGUGAACUAGGACGUGCGUCAUGAUGUUGAAGAAGGAUGGUGGGAACACCAACUCGAAACUGACAAGACAUUGCACCAAAUCAUUCUCUAACCUUGGUAUGAUUUCUGGAUCGAUUACCUUCUGAGAGAUUGCAUUGAGAAAUGCACAUAGCUUCACAAUGGCUAAUCGAACGUUUUCCGGUAGAAGCCCCCUCAAUGCAACCGGAAGCAGUUGCGUCAUAAUCACAUGGCAGUCAUGAGACUUUAGGUUCUGAAACUUUUUCUCUGCCAUGUUUGUUAUUCCCUUUAUAUUCGACGAGAAGCCAGACGGUACCUUAAUACUGAGCAGACAUUCAAAGAAGAUUUCCUUCUCUUAUUUGGUAAGAGCAUAGCUUGCAUGACCCUGAUGUAUGCCGUCUUUUCCGUGCAUACGUUGCUGGUCCUCUCGUGCCUCAGGUGUAUCUUUUGUCUUCCCAUACACGCCCAAGAAGCCAAGCAGGGUCACACAAAGAUUCUUCGUCACGUGCAUCACGUCGAUUGCGGAGCGGACCUCUAGGUCUUUCCAAUAGGGCAGGUCCCAAAAUAUAGAUUUCUUCUUCCACAUGGGUGCGCGUCCGUCAGCGUCAUUCGGAACAGGUUGUCCACCAGGACCCUUUCCAAAGACCACCUUCAAAUCCUUGACCAUAUCAUGUACAUCAGCACCAGUACGGUGGCGAGGCUUCGUCCGGUGAUCCGCCUCACCUUUGAAAUGCUUGCCUUUCUUUCUUACAGGAUGCCUGCUCGGAAGAAAUCGACGAUGUCCCAGGUACACAAUCUUCUUACAAUUAGCCAAACAUAUACUGUCGGUAUCAUCCAAACAGUGCGUGCAUGCGCGGUAUCCCUUGUUUGUCUGUCCUGAAAGGUUACUAAGAGCAGGCCAAUCAUUGAUGGUCAUGAACAGCAACGCCUUUAGGUCAAAUUCUUCCCCCAUGUGCUCAUUGUCGUGGUUCUAACUCUGACAGUGAUGUAGGGGGUGAAUAUGGAGAGGCUAGAUCUUAGCUAUUGGGAAGUUGUUACACGCGAGGUUUACGAGUUCAGGCCCUUCUCAGAGGAAGUAAUAGCCCUACGUCUCGGAUCCCGGAGGCGGUCGACUGGAUUAUGCGUGUAUGGAUUACCGGGGUGCGAACCCUUCACACUGAGGAGGGGGGUGGCUUAUAUAGAGUUCGCCGGACCCCUCCUGCCCUCAGUAAUGCAGGGUUUAAGGUACAUUUAAGGUUGGGCGUUACUGGUAACGCCCCUAGUAAAGUGCUAUAAUGAUCAUAAAGACUACUUAACAGCCGACCGUUUGCCUGUGGAGUGACUUUAGGUCUCCUGGCAGUCGAGUGGUUGGCUUCAUGGUCGAGUGAUAGCUUCUUGGUCGAGUGUCUUGAACCCGUCGAGUGGGAUACCUUCAAGUCGAUUGAAAGGUGACUUCUUCUAGGGGUGUCCUAGGGUAGGACUCUUUGGUCAGGUCCAUGUCCCUACCCUAGGUACAUGUCUUCAUCAUUAGCCCCCGAAUGGAUCGAGGUUAGAGUGGGGAAAGAGUUGGGGAUCUUUCCGACUGGUUCUUCGGGCUAUGUGAGCGCCUCGUUUUGGGUCAAUCGUCACGGAUGACGUUACCAACCUUUUUCAGUUGCCUUGAUCCAUUCCAGGCCUUUCGUCGAGUGAAUUUCUUUGUUUGUGACAUACCGAGCGCCGGCGCGAUCGGGGUCUUCUGUUUUGACAAGGUGUCCUGCGGCCCGCGGAUGUCGCGGGAUUCGGAUUUUGGGAAGCGCGCGGGACGGGAGCGGCCGCAGUAAUCGGAAGCGAUAAAGCGGAAGCCCCUCGAUUCCCGUGUUGCCUUUUUCGCCACGUACUGCGUGCGCGUCUGCUGCGGGAUUUGACCGGAUGGCCUGGGCCUACUAGUCAGCCACUCGGUAGCGGUCCCUUAUAAAUCGCUGAUUCGGGGUUUUCAAGCAGUGCACUCUCUUCUCCUCCUUUCUUCCGCCUCUCCCCCUUCGCAAGUCCUUCCGCCACCUCCGUUCUCGCCCCAGCGCAGCAGGCCAGUGCGAGACUUCGCCGGCAACGAUGACGAAGAGCAAGACCUCCGCUCUGGAGCGCGCGAAGAAGGCGGCGGCGGCGGGGAAAGGAAAGAGGUCUACUCGGGGCGGAUCCUCCUCCAGGACCGCUCUGCCCAUAGGUUGGAUCCAGGGCAACUUGAUGCCAUCGGUGCUCCGGCAAGAGGAUCUUGACGACAUGGUCGAGGGGGGAGUCAUUCCCCAUGAAGCUGCGCGUCUUCCAGGGGGAGAGAUCGAACCUCAACCCCGCGACGGUGAGUGCGUGCUCCUAGCCACCCACAUCGACCGAGGGUUUUCUCUGCCGCCCCAUCCUUUCUUCCGGAGUUUCCUGAAUUUCUUUAGAGCGCAGCUCCACCACUUCACUCCCAACUCCAUUGUCUACCUUACUGCUUUCAUCUCCAUGUGUGAGGCUUUCUUGGGUUGUCGACCCCAUUGGGGACUCUUCAAACACAUCUUUACCUGUCGUUCUCAAUCGGUCAAGAAGGCUAAGUCGAGUGACGAGAGGACGCAGGUGAUCUAGCUGUGCGGGGGCCUGGCGAUCCAGACGAGGGGGAAGAGUUGUUUUCCAUCUAUCACCUUCCCGGAGUCGGUCCGUGGCUGGCAGUCGACUUGGUUCUACUGCAAGGACGAGGCGACCCCCGGACAGUCGACUGGUCUUCCUCCUUUUUCCCUCGACCGAGCCGAGAAGCCUACCUCUCUGAAAAUCGUGCCGGAGGAAAAGUCCCAAGUCAAGGUGCUGGCAGGUCGAGUGGUUGAGCUUGUCCGCGAGGGCGUGACUGGUAUGGACCUACUGGAGGUCUUUCUUCAAAGGCGCAUCCAACCGCUCCAGGCCCGCGACCAUCCGAUGUGGCUGUAUUCGGGUCUUGACGACACCACUCGGGUCCACCCGGAGGAGGUCACCGACGAGAUGGUGGAGGGGUGGCUGUCGAGCAUCACGGGGAACAAAGACAACCCCCGAGGAGCCAGGAGGGUAACCCCACUCGACAACUCAUAUGAGGUGGACCAGGUAUGUCUUUGUGCUCCCGACUGAUAUCUUGUCUUCUGCAUUGGUCUUCUUUGAAUAAGUCGAUUGACUUUUGUCUUGCCUGUUGUUUUCCAGGCGACCACCGAGAUGUACUCGACGCCCAACGGGGCAUAGGGGUCNNNNNNNNNNNNNNNNNNNNNNNNNNNNNNNNNNNNNNNNNNNNNNNNNNNNNNNNNNNNNNNNNNNNNNNNNNNNNNNNNNNNNNNNNNNNNNNNNNNNNNNNNNNNNNNNNNNNNNNNNNNNNNNNNNNNNNNNNNNNNNNNNNNNNNNNNNNNNNNNNNNNNNNNNNNNNNNNNNNNNNNNNNNNNNNNNNNNNNNNNNNNNNNNNNNNNNNNNNNNNNNNNNNNNNNNNNNNNNNNNNNNNNNNNNNNNNNNNNNNNNNNNNNNNNNNNNNNNNNNNNNNNNNNNNNNNNNNNNNNNNNNNNNNNNNNNNNNNNNNNNNNNNNNNNNNNNNNNNNNNNNNNNNNNNNNNNNNNNNNNNNNNNNNCAGGGGUCGACUGAGGAAGGGGAGGCGAGCGGAGGCGAGAGCGGGGACGACCAAGGCGAGUGGGAGUCCGACGGUGAGGGAGAGGGAGGCGACGACAUCUUCUCCAGCGAAGGGGAGGAGGAGGAGGUUGAACCCCCCCGCCCGGAGGGGCGAUCCAAGCUCACCCACGAUCCAGCGCGGGAACGUGGCAAGGCGACCGCUCCUGUUGGGCAGUCGUCGAAACGCCCUCGGACCUCUUCUCCUCCGCCGACUGGGAAGGCUCCCAAGAAUCCACGAGCGACGCCAUCCAAGCCGCCCAAGGCUCUACCCAAGAUGAAGAUAGCUGUUCCUACCAUUUCCGGGUAAUAAUAAGACUUGCUUUCCUUUGUCGACCGUGGACGAAUCCUUGGUCAAUUCACUGAACCAACUGAUUGACUUUCGAGAUUUGCAGCGGUGCUACUUCUGAGGUCUCCGCCAGGAAAGAUGACCAAGAGAUGGAGGACGCUGUUACCUUCAACCCUGGUACGAUUGCUGACGUCCUGCCUUUGAGUCGACUGAACUUUUAUUGCUACUCUGGUCGAUUGAAUGUUUUCCUUGUAGCUCCUCCUCAUGUUAUCGACCUCCCGGAUGACGACGACGACGGUCCGUUGAGAGUGAGGAGGCAUAAGAGGGCGUCGGCUGACAAGACCCCCCAAUCCGCUCCGGCGUCCGAGGCCGUGGCUCGGGAUGGUGGUGACACCACUCGGGCUUCUAUGACCUUCGCCGUUCCUCUGGCGAGUGCGCAGCCCUCGGUGUCGACUGUGGAUCCACCUUCGCUUUUUGCUGCGUGCCCCGUCCCUGAGGACCAAGCGGCUGCUGCAAAGGAGGCUAUACGCCAGGCGGGGAUCAUGAUGGAGCAAGUGAAGAUGGCUCGGGAGGCCAGCCAAGCAGCCUAUGACGCGAGUUCGGCUCUUCAGAGCAAUGUCCAGGUCAGUCGACUCGACACUUGGUCUGUUAUGAUAUGCUGUUUGAAGAGUCUCUUUUCCGAAGAUCUUUUGUAUCUGUAUCUGUACACCCACUGGGUGUGUCUGCCAACCCUUUGGACGAGUGGGGGCACGCUAAGUGCACCCACUGGGUGUAGUCCCCGAGACUACGGUGGACUGCUGGCAUUCGACUGUAGUCUUUACGUUGUGUUGCUGUAGCUGUAUUUCUUCACUCGGUUUGGUCGGGUCAGGUCGAGUGGAAUUAUAUCCGGUCGACUGCGGGCAGUCGACUUUUUUUUUUGGUCGAACCAGUGGGGGCACGCUGAGUGCACCCACUGGGUGUAGUCCCCGAGACUACUGUCGAAUGUUUUUGAUUCGGCUGUGGUCUUAGAAACGUCAUUAUUGUCUCUUAGUUACUCGGAAGCAACUUAUCUUGGAAGUCUGUCGACUGAUUUUCCUUUUUACAGAAAUCUUGCGAACUUGUAGCUCGCUAUACUGAGUUGGAGAAUCAGCAGAUCCAGCUCAACCUUAGCUUGAAGCUUGCUCAGGAGAAUUUGAGGAAGGCGCAAGAAGAAGCGAAAGGUAUGGCUGGUGAGGUUCUCUAUUCUUAACGGGUGGCUUUUCUUUCUUCUCCAUUCUUGAUGUUGGUUCCACUCGACGCGCCACAGAUAAACUGGAGGAAGCUCUAAAGAAGAAGGACCAAGACCUUGCAGAGGCACAGAAGGAGGCCUCAAGCAAAACGAAGCUUGCAGAGGAGAAAUUGGCUUCGGUCGGAGCUCUUGAACAGGAGAACUCCAGACUGAAAACCGCUCUCGAGACAGCUAAUCGAGAUGCCAGUCGACUGAAGAAGGAGAAGAUGGCUCUGCACGACAAGGCGGGUGAGCUGGUGGGGAAGGUAAAAGAUCUGGAAGCUUAUCUCGGUGGACUUGCCAAGAAGUUGUUCGUCAUGCUCGAAGGUAAUUACUCUGCCCCGACUGUCUUGCAGUUUGCCGAGCCUGCGUAGGGCCACUGUCUUACUCUUGAAUCGUGUUUGCAUAAUUCUGUCAGAACUUUGAAGAGGAGACCAGUCGAGUGGAGCCAAGCUUGGACCCUGUUAACUCUCUUGUGAAGGACGAGGCUGCCAUGAACGUGCUCCGACUAGAGUCUUGUGUUGCCAGCGUCGUUGAUUAUCUGGCUCGGCUGAAAGUUGCAAUGUCGCGGAUCGACACAUCACUCUGGCCUGGGACGACGCUUCGGAACGACCUCGAGUCUCUGAUGGCUCGACUUAACGAAGUCCCAGGUCGAGUGGCGGAAUGGAAGAAAUCUUCUGCUAGAUGUGGUGCUGAUGUCGCUCUGUCUCUGGUCCGCGUCCAUUGCAAGGAGGCGCGAGAAGAAAAGCUGGUGGCCAUCCAAGUUGCAAAUACCAGGAAGCACGGCUUUCAAGACUUCAUGGAGACCUUCAUCGCCGCUGCCACCCGUAUUGCCGACGGGAUCGACUUGGAUGAGUUCAUCGCCCCUUCCAGUCCUCCUCCUGACGAGUGAAAAACUUUAAAUUUACCUCGGAAUGCAGAGUGGAUUUGUAACCGUUAAACUUUGCCUUAAAUUUGCCUCGGGAUGCCGAGUGGACUUGUAACAGUUAAACUUUGCCGAGCCGCGGGCUCGAGUACUUUGAGGUCUGGGACCUUUUAGGCUUUAUCCGAAAUCGAUUUCUCGUCGGGCAUCUUCAUGGUUAGAUUCGUCGAGUGGAACUUGAUCUUCACUCGGAAUGACCUUGUAUUUGCGGCGCAAUUCCGAAGGGGGAGUUAGCAGUCGACUCGCGGAUUGGGUCGAGUCUUGAACUUAGGCGAGCACUGGGCUGCAGCUAAGCCCCCGAGUGGGAGGUUUGCUCUCCACUUGGUAGGAUUUUUAAACACUUAGGCGAGUGCCGGACUGCAGCUAAGUCUCUAAGUGAGAGAAUUUAGGCGAGUGCCAGACUGCAGCUAAGCCCCCGAGUGGGAGGAUCGCUCUCCACUCGGUAGGAUUUUUUCAAACUUAGGCGAGUGCCGGACUGCAGCUAAGUCUCUAAGUGAGAGAACUUAGGCGAGUGCUGGACUGCAGCUAAGCCCCCGAGUGGGAGGUUUGCUCUCCACUCGGUAGGAUUNNNNNNNNNNNNNNNNNNNNNNNNNNNNNNNNNNNNNNNNNNNNNNNNNNNNNNNNNNNNNNNNNNNNNNNNNNNNNNNNNNNNNNNNNNNNNNNNNNNNNNNNNNNNNNNNNNNNNNNNNNNNNNNNNNNNNNNNNNNNNNNNNNNNNNNNNNNNNNNNNNNNNNNNNNNNNNNNNNNNNNNNNNNNNNNNNNNNNNNNNNNNNNNNNNNNNNNNNNNNNNNNNNNNNNNNNNNNNNNNNNNNNNNNNNNNNNNNNNNNNNNNNNNNNNNNNNNNNNNNNNNNNNNNNNNNNNNNNNNNNNNNNNNNNNNNNNNNNNNNNNNNNNNNNNNNNNNNNNNNNNNNNNNNNNNNNNNNNNNNNNNNNNNNNNNNNNNNNNNNNNNNNNNNNNNNNNNNNNNNNNNNNNNNNNNNNNNNNNNNNNNNNNNNNNNNNNNNNNNNNNNNNNNNNNNNNNNNNNNNNNNNNNNNNNNNNNNNNNNNNNNNNNNNNNNNNNNNNNNNNNNNNNNNNNNNACUGGGCCACAGCUAAGCCCCCGAGUGGGAGGUUUGCUCUCCACUCGAUAGGAUUUUUUCAAACUUAGGCGAGUGCCGGACUGCGGCUAAGUCUCUAGGCAAGAGAACUUAGGUGAGUGCUGGACUGCAGCUAAGCCCCCGAGUGGGAGGAUCGCUCUCCACUCGGUAGGAUUUUUAAAUACUUAGGCGAGCACUGGGCUGCAGCUAAGCCCCCGAGUGGGAGGUUUGCUCUUCACUCGGUAGGAUUUUUAAACACUUAGGCGAGCACUGGGCCGCAGCUAAUGUUGGAAAUAUGCCCUAGAGGCAAUAAUAAAUUGAUUAUUAUUAUAUUUCCUUGUUCAUGAUAAUCGUUUAUUAUCCAUGCUAGAAUUGUAUUGAUAGGAAACUCAGAUACAUGUGUGGAUACAUAGACAACACCAUGUCCCUAGUAAGCCUCUAGUUGACUAGCUCGUUAAUCAAUAGAUGGUUACGGUUUCCUGACCAUGGACAUUGGAUGUCGUUGAUAACGGGAUCACAUCAUUAGGAGAAUGAUGUGAUGGACAAGACCCAAUCCUAAGCCUAGCACAAGAUCAUGUAGUUCGUAUGCUAAAGCUUUUCUAAUGUCAAGUAUCAUUUCCUUAGACCAUGAGAUUGUGCAACUCCCGGAUACCGUAGGAGUGCUUUGGGUGUGCCAAACGUCACAACGUAACUGAGUGGCUAUAAAGGUACACUACGGGUAUCUCUGAAAGUGUCUGUUGGGUUGGCACGAAUCGAGAUUGGGAUUUUGUCACUCCGUGUAAACGGAGAGGUAUCUCUGGGCCCACUCAGUAGGACAUCGUCAUAAUGUGCACAAUGUGACCAAGGGGUUGAUCACGGGAUGAUGUGUUACGGAACGAGUAAAGAGACUUGCCGGUAACGAGAUUGAACAAGGUAUCGGUAUACCAACGAUCGAAUCUCGGGCAAGUACCAUACCGCUAGACAAAGGGAAUUGUAUACGGGAUUGAUUGAGUCCUUGACAUCGUGGUUCAUCCGAUGAGAUCAUCGUGGAACAUGUGGGAGCCAACAUGGGUAUCCAGAUCCCGCUGUUGGUUAUUGACCGGAGAGCAUCUCGGUCAUGACUACAUGUCUCCCGAACCCGUAGGGUCUACACACUUAAGGUUCGAUGACGCUAGGGUUAUAAAGGAAGUUUGUAUGUGGUUACCGAAUGUUGUUCGGAGUCCCGGAUGAGAUCCCGGACGUCACGAGGAGUUCCGGAAUGGUCCGGAGGUAAAGAUUUAUAUAUAGGAAGUCCUGUUUCGGUCAUCGGGACAAGUUUCGGGGUCAUCGGUAUUGUACCGGGACCACCGGAAGGGUCCCGGGGGCCCACCGGGUGGGGCCACCUGCCCCGGGGGGCCACAUGGGCUGUAGGGGGUGCGCCUUGGCCUACAUGGGCCAAGGGCACCAGCCCCUAGAGGCCCAUGCGCCAAGAUAUAGGAAAAAGGGGAGAGUCCUAAAGGGGGAAGGCACCUCCGAGGUGCCUUGGGGAGGAUGGACUCCUCCCCCCCUCUUAGCCGCACCCCUUCCUUGGAGGAAGGGGCAAGGCUGCGCCUCCCCCCUCUCCCCUGCCCCUAUAUAUAGUGGAGGGGAGGGAGGGCAUCCAUACCUGAGCCCUUGGCGCCUCCCUCCCUCCCGUGACACCUCCUCCUCUCCCGUAGGUGCUUAGCGAAGCCCUGCAGGAUUGCCACGCUCCUCCAUCACCACCACGCCGUUGUGCUACUGCUGGAUGGAUUCUUCCUCAACCUCUCCCUCUCUCCUUGCUGGAUCAAGGCGUGGGAGACAUCGUCGAGCUGUACGUGUGUUGAACGCGGAGGUGCCGUCCGUUCGGCACUAGGAUCAUCGGUGAUCUGAAUCACGACGAGUACGACUCCAUCAACCCCGUUCACUUGAACGCUUCCGCUUAGCGAUCUACAAGGGUAUGUAGAUGCACUCUCCUUCCCCUCGUUGCUGGUUUCUCCAUAGAUAGAUCUUGGUGACACGUAGGAAAAUUUUGAAUUUCUGCUACGUUCCCCAACAGUGGCAUCAUGAGCUAGGUCUAUUGCGUAGAUUCUUUGCACGAGUAGAACACAAAGUAGUUGUGGGCGUCGAUAUUGUUCAAUAUGCUUGCCGUUACUAGUCUUAUCUUGAUUCGGCGGCAUCGUGGGAUGAAGCGGCCCGGACCAACCUUACACGUACGCUUACGUGAGACCGGUUCCACCGACAAACAUGCACUAGUUGCAUAAGGUGGCUGGCGGGUGUCUGUCUCUCCCACUUUAGUCGGAUCGGAUUCGAUGAAAAGGGUCCUUAUGAAGGGUAAAUAGCAAUUGGCAUAUCACGUUGUGGUUCAUCCGUAGGUAAGAAACGUUCUUGCUAGAAACCCAUAGCAGCCACGUAAAACAUGCAAACAACAAUUAGAGGACGUCUAACUUGUUUUUGCAGGGUAUGCUAUGUGAUGUGAUAUGGCCAAAAAGGAUGUGAUGAAUGAUAUAUGUGGUGUAUGAGAUUGAUCAUGUUCUUGUAAUAGGAAUCACGACUUGCAUGUCGAUGAGUAUGACAACCGGCAGGAGCCAUAGGAGUUGUCUUUAUUUAUUUGUGACCUGCGUGUCAACUUAAACGUCAUGUAAUUACUUUACUUUAUUGCUAACCGUUAGCCAUAGUAGUAGAAGUAAUAGUUGGCGAGGCAACUUCAUGAAGACACGAUGAUGGAGAUCAUGAUGAUGGAGAUCAUGGUGUCAUGCCGGUGACGAUGAUGAUCAUGGAGCCCCGAAGAUGGAGAUCAAAAGGAGCAAAGUGAUGAUGGCCAUAUCAUGUCACUAUUUGAUUGCAUGUGAUGUUUAUCAUGUUUAUAGAUCUUAUUUUCUUAGAACGACGGUAGUAAAUAAGAUGAUCCCUUACAACAAUUUCAAGAAGUGUUCUCCCCUAACUGUGCACCAUUGCGACAGUUCAUGUUUCGAAGCACCACGUGAUGAUCGGGUGUUAGAUUCUAACGUUCACAUACAACGGGUGUAAGACAGAUUUACACACGCGAAACACUUAGGUUAACUUGACGAGCCUAGCAUGUACAGACAUGGCCUCAGAACACGGAGACCGAAAGGUCGAACAUGAGUCGUAUAGAAGAUACGAUCAACAUGAAGAUGUUCACCGAUGAUGACUAGUCCGUCUCACGUGAUGAUCGGACACGGCCUAGUUUGACUCAGAUCAUGUAAUCACUUAGAUGACUAGAGGGAUGUCUAUCUGAGUGGGAGUUCAUAAGAUGAACUUAAUUAUCCUGAACAUAGUCAAAAGGUUUUUGCAAAUUAUGUCGUAGCUCACGCUAUAGUUCUACUGUUUAGAUAUGUUCCUAGAGAAAAAUUAGUUGAAAGUUGAUAGUAGCAAUUAUGCGGACUAGGUCCGUAAAAUGAGGAUUAUCCUCAUUGCUUCAUAGAAGGCUUAUGUCCUUAAUGCACCGCUCAGUGUGCUGAACCUCGAACGUUGUCUGUGGUUGUUGCGAACAUCUGACAUACACGUUUUGAUAACUACGUGAUAGUUCAGUUAAACGGUUUAGAGUUGAGGCACCAAAGACGUUUUUGAAACAUCGCGAAACAUAUGAGAUGUUUUGAGGGCUGAAAUUGGGAUUUCAGGCUCGUGCCCAUGUCAAGAGGUAUAAGACCUCCGAUGACUUUCUUAACCUGCAAACUAAGGAGAAAAGCUCAAUUGUUGAGCUUGUGCUCAGAUUGUCUGAGUACAACAAUCAUUUGAAUCGAGUGGGAGUUGAUCUUCCAGAUAAGACAGUGAUGGUUCUCCAAAGUCAUUGCCACCAAGCUGUUAGAGCUUCGUGAUGAACUAUAACAUAUCAGGGAUAGAUAUGAUGAUCCUUGAGGUAUUCGCGAUGUUUGACACCGCGAAAGUAGAAAUCAAGAAGGAGCAUCAAUUGUUGAUGGUUGGUGAAACCACUAGUUUCAAGAAGGGCAAGGGCAAGAAGGGAUACUUCAUGAAACGGCAAAUCAGCUGCUGCUCUAGUGAAGAAACCCAAGGUAAAACCCAAACCUGAGACUAAGUGCUUCUGUAAUAAGGGGAACAACCACUAGAGCAGAAUUACCCUAGAUACUUGGUAGAUAAGAAGGAUGGCAAGGUCGAUAGAAGUAUAUUGGAUAUACAUUGUGUUAAUGUGUACUUUGCUAGUACUCCUAGUAGCACCAGGGUAUUAGAUACCGGUUCGGUUGCUAAGUGUUAGUAACUCGAAACAAAAGGCUACGGAAUAAACAGAGACUAGCUAAAGGUGAGCUGACGAUAUGUGUUGGAAGUUUUUCCAAGCUUGAUAUGAUCAAGCAUUGCACGCUCCCUCUACCAAAGAGAUUGGUGUUAAACCUAAAUAAUUGUUAUUUGGUGUUUGCGUUGAGCAUAGACAUGAUUGGAUUACGUCUAUCGCAAUACGGUUAUUCAUUUAAGGAGAAUAAUGGUUACUCUGUUUAUUUGAAUAAUACCUUCAAUGGUCUUACACCUAAAAUGAAUGGUUCAUUAAAUCUCGAUCGUAGUGAUACACAUGUUCAUGCCAAAAGAUAUAAGAUAGUAAUGAUAGUAUCACCUACUUGUGGCACUGCCACGUAAGUCAUAUCGGUAUAAAACGCAUGAAGAAGCUCCAUAUUGAUGGAUCUUUGGGCUCACUCGUUUUUGAAAAGUUUGAGACAUGCGAACCAUGUCUAUUGGUAUAUAUGCAUGAAGAAACUCCAUGCAAAUGGACCGUUUUGACUCACUUGAUUUUGAAUCACUUGGGACAUGCAAAUCAUACCACAUGGGCAAGAUGACUGAAAAGCCUCGUUUUCAGUAAGAUGGAACAAGAUAGCAACUUGUUGGAAGUAACACAUUUUGAUGUGUGCAGUCCAAUGAGUGCUGAGGCAUGCAGUGAAUAUCGUUAUGUUCUUACUUCACAGAUGAUUCGAGUAGAUGUUGAGUAUAUUUACUUGAUGAAUCACGAGUCUGAAUUAUUGAAAGGUUCAAGUAAUUUCAGUGUGAAGUUGAAAGAUCGUCGUGACAAGAGGAUAAAAGAUCUAUGAUAUGAUCAUAGAGAUGAAUAUCUGAAUCACGAGUUUGGCACACAAUUAAGACAUUGUGGAAAUUGUGUCCAAACGUCAUAGUUGCAUCCUAUUGGAUAUGGUGCAUACCAUGAUGUCUCUUAUCGAGUUACCACCAUCGUUCAUGGGUUAGGCAUUAGAGACAACCACAUUCACUUUAAAUAGGGCACCACAUAAUUUCGUUGAGACGACACCGUAUGAACUAUGGUUUGGAGAAACCUAAGUUGCCGUUUCUUGAAAGUUUGGGGCUGCGACGCUUAUGUGAAAAGGUUUCAGGUUGAUAAGCUCGAACCCAAAGCAGAUAAAAUGCAUCUUCAUAGGACACCCAAAAACAGUUGGGUAUACCUCCUAAUUCAGAUCCAAAAGCAAUAGGGAUUGUUUCUUGAAUCGGGUCCUUUUUCGAGGAAAGGUUUCUCUCGAAAAGUUGAGUGGGAGGAUGGUGGAGACUUGAUGAGGUUAUUGAACCGUCACUUCAACAAGUGUGUAGCAGGGCACAGGAAGUUGUUCCUGUGGCACGUACACCAACUGAAGUGGAAGCUUAUGAUAGUGAUCAUGAAACUUCGGAUCGAGUCACUACCAAACCUCAUGGGAUGACAAGGAUGCGUACUACUUCAGAGUGGUACGUAAUCCUGUCUUGGAAGUCAUGUUGCUAGACAACAAUUAACCUACGAGCUAUGGAGAAGCGAUGGUGGGCCCGGAUUCCGAUAAAUGGCUCAAGGCCAUAAAACCUGAGAGAGGAUCCAUGUAUGAAAACAAAGUGUAGACUUUGGAAGAACUACUUGAUGGUCGUAAGGCUGUUAGGUACAUAUGGAUUUUGAAAGGAAGACAGACAAUGAUGGUAAGUGUCACCAUUGAGAAAGCUCGACUUGUCGUUAAGAUGUUUUUCGACAAGUUCAAGGAGUUCACUACGAUGAGACUUUCUCACUCGUAGCGAUGCUAAGAGUCUGUUGGAAUUAUAUUAGCAAUUACUGCAUUAUUUAUGAAAUCUUGCAGAUAGGAUGUCAAAACAUUGUUUCCUCGACGAUUCUUGAGGAAAGGUUGUAUGUGAUACAACCGGAAGGUUUUGUCUAUCCUGAAAUAUGCUAAUAAGUAUGCAAAGCUCCAGCAAUCCUUCUGAGGACUGGAGUGAGCAUCUCGGAGUUGGAAUGUAUGCUUUGAUGAUGAUCAAAGAUUUUGGGUGUAUACAAAGUUUAUGAGAAACUUGUAUUUCCAAAGAAGUGAGUGGGAGCACUAUAGAAUUUCUGAUGAGUAUAUGUUGUUGACAUAUUAAUGAUUAGAAAUGACGUAGAAUUUCUGGAAAGCAUAUAGGGUUAUUUGGAAAGUGUUUUCAAUGGAAAACCUAGAUUAAGCUACUUGAACAUUGAGCAUCAAGAUCUAUAAGGAUAGAUCAAAACGCUUAAUAGUACUUUCAAAUGAGCACAUGCCUUGACGUGAUCUUGAAGGUGUUCAAGAUGGAUCAGUCAAAGAAGGAGUUCUUGCCUGAGUUGUAAGGUAUGAAGUUAAGACUUAAAGCUCGACCAUGGCAGAAUAGAGAGAAAGGAACGAAGGUCGUCCCCUAUGCUUAAGACAUAGGCUCUACAGUAUGCUAUGCUGUGUACCGCACCUGAAGUGUGCUUUACCAUGAGUCAGUCAAGGGGUACAAGAGUGAUCCAAGAAUGGAUCACAGGACAGCGGUCAAAGUUAUCCUUAGUAACUAGUGGACUAAGGAAUUUUCUCAAUCAUGGAGGUGGUAAAAGAGUUCGUCGUAAAGGGUUACGUCGAUGCAAGCUUAACACCUAUCCGGAUAGCUCUGAGUAGAGAUACCGGAUACGUAUAAUGGAGCAACAAUUUGGAAUAGCUCCAAGUAGAACAGUUAUUUGGAAUAGCUCCAAAUAGAACGUGGUAGCUGCAUCUAGGAGAUGACAUAGAGAUUUGUAAAGCACACACGGAUCUGAAAGGUUCAAACCCGUUGACUAUAACCUCUCUCACAAGCAUAACAUGAUCAAACCCAGAACUCAUCGAGUGUUAAUCACAUGGUAAAUGUGAACUAGAUUAUUGACUCUAGUAAACUCUUUGGGUGUUAGUCACAUGGGGAUGUGACCUUGAGUGUUAAUCACAUAUCGAUGUGAACUAGAUUAUUGACUCUAGUGCAAGUGGGAGACUGUUGGAAAUAUGCCCUAGAGGCAAUAAUAAAUUGAUUAUUAUUAUAUUUCCUUGUUCAUGAUAAUCGUUUAUUAUCCAUGCUAGAAUUGUAUUGAUAGGAAACUCAGAUACAUGUGUGGAUACAUAGACAACACCAUGUCCCUAGUAAGCCUCUAGUUGAGUAGCUCGUUAAUCAAUAGAUGGUUACGGUUUCCUGACCAUGGACAUUGGAUGUCGUUGAUAACGGGAUCACAUCAUUAGGAGAAUGAUGUGAUGGACAAGACCCAAUCCUAAGCCUAGCACAAGAUCAUGUAGUUCGUAUGCUAAAGCUUUUCUAAUGUCAAGUAUCAUUUCCUUAGACCAUGAGAUUGUGCAACUCCCGGAUACCGUAGGAGUGCUUUGGGUGUGCCAAACGUCACAACGUAACUGGGUGGCUAUAAAGGUACACUACGGGUAUCUCUGAAAGUGUCUGUUGGGUUGGCACGAAUCGAGAUUGGGAUUUUGUCACUCCGUGUAAACGGAGAGGUAUCUCUGGGCCCACUCGGUAGGACAUCAUCAUAAUGUGCACAAUGUGACCAAGGGGUUGAUCACGGGAUGAUGUGUUACGGAACGAGUAAAGAGACUUGCCGGUAACGAGAUUGAACAAGGUAUCGGUAUACCGACGAUCGAAUCUCGGGCAAGUACCAUACCGCUAGACAAAGGGAAUUGUAUACGGGAUUGAUUGAGUCCUUGACAUUGUGGUUCAUCCGAUGAGAUCAUCGUGGAACAUGUGGGAGCCAACAUGGGUAUCCAGAUCCCGCUGUUGGUUAUUGACCGGAGAACAUCUCGGUCAUGACUACAUGUCUCCCGAACCCGUAGGGUCUACACACUUAAGGUUCGAUGACGCUAGGGUUAUAAAGGAAGUUUGUAUGUGGUUUCCGAAUGUUGUUCGGAGUCCCAGAUGAGAUCCCGGACGUCACGAGGAGUUCCGGAAUGGUCCGGAGGUAAAGAUUUAUAUAUAGGAAGUCCUGUUUCGGCCAUCGGGACAAGUUUCGGGGUCAUCGGUAUUGUACCGGGACCACCGGAAGGGUCCCGGGGGCCCACCGGGUGGGGCCACCUGCCCCGGGGGGCCACAUGGGCUGUAGGGGGUGCGCCUUGGCCUACAUGGGCCAAGGGCACCAGCCCCUAGAGGCCCAUGCGCCAAGAUAUAGGAAAAAGGGGAGAGUCCUAAAGGGGGAAGGCACCUCCGAGGUGCCUUGGGGAGGAUGGACUCCUCCCCCCCUCUUAGCCGCACCCCUUCCUUGGAGGAAGGGGCAAGGCUGCGCCUCCCCCCUCUCCCCUGCCCCUAUAUAUAGUGGAGGGGAGGGAGGGCAUCCAUACCUGAGCCCUUGGCGCCUCCCUCCCUCCCGUGACACCUCCUCCUCUCCCGUAGGUGCUUAGUGAAGCCCUGCAGGAUUGCCACGCUCCUCCAUCACCACCACGCCGUUGUGCUGCUGCUGGAUGGAGUCUUCCUCAACCUCUCCCUCUCUCCUUGCUGGAUCAAGGCGUGGGAGACAUCGUCGAGCUGUACGUGUGUUGAACGCGGAGGUGCCGUCCGUUCGGCACUAGGAUCAUCGGUGAUCUGAAUCACGACGAGUACGACUCCAUCAACCCCGUUCACUUGAACGCUUCCGCUUAGCGAUCUACAAGGGUAUGUAGAUGCACUCUCCUUCCCCUCGUUGCUGGUUUCUCCAUAGAUAGAUCUUGGUGACACGUAGGAAAAUUUUGAAUUUCUGCUACGUUCCCCAACAGCUAAGCCCCCGAGUGGGAGGUUUGCUCUCCACUCGGUUGGAUUUUUUCAAACUUAGGCGAGUGCCAGACUGCGGCUAAGUCUCUAGGCGAGAGAACUUAGGCGAGUGCUAGACUGCAGCUAAGCCCCCGAGUGUAGGAUUUUUUCAAACUUAGGCGAGUGCCGGACUGCAGCUAAGUCUCUAGGCGAGAGAUCUUAGGCGAGUGUUGGACUGCAGCUAAGCCCCCGAGUGGGAGGAUCGCUCUCCACUCGGUAGGAUUUUUUCAAACUUAGGCGAAACGGAUUCGCAGCUAAGUCACCCACUGGGGGAUUCCGUAUGUAAACAAAAGUGACGAUAAUUAAUGGAACACUCUUGCCUUUGAUAAAAACGAACUGCAGGAAUUUUUCUUAUUACAUCUCGUCCAAGGGAGAGCUCAAGUGUAAAAGGGGCAGAGUAGUUCCGCAUUCCAAGCUCGAGGCUCGUUGACCUGGCGAUCAACAUUGUAGAGGUGAUACGCUCCAUUGUGGAGGACUCUGGUGAUGAUGAAGGGGCCUUCCCAAGUAGGAGCAAGCUUGUGUGGUUUCUGUUGAUCCACUCGGAGGACCAAAUCUCCUUCUUGGAAGGCUCGACUCUUCACAUUCCGGGCGUGGAAUUGACGCAAGUCUUGCUGAUAAAUGGUCGAUCUGAUCAUGGCCAUCUCCCUCUCUUCUUCUAGGAGGUUGACUGCGUCUUGCCGGGCCUGUUCUGCUUCAUCUUCGGUGUAAAGCUCGACUCGGGGCGCGUUGUGAAGAAGAUCACUUGGCAGAACCGCUUCGGCUCCAUAGACCAGAAAGAAUGGAGUUCUUCCAGUCGACCGGUUAGGGGUGGUCCUCAAUCCCCACAGAACUGACGGAAGCUCGUCGACCCAAGCACCUGCCGCGUGCUUGAGAUCACGCAUCAGUCGAGGCUUCAGUCCUUUGAGAAUCAAACCAUUUGCUCUUUCAGCUUGUCCAUUCGACUGAGGAUGUGCGACCGACACGUAGUCGACUCGCGUGCCUUGAGAGGCGCAAAAAGCUCUGAACUGGUCCGAAUCAAAGUUUGACCCAUUGUCAGUGAUGAUGCUAUGAGGGACUCCAUAUCUGAAUGUUAGUCCUCUGACGAAACUGAUAGCAGUGCCAGCAUCGAGGUUCUUGAUAGGCUUGGCUUCAAUCCAUUUGGUGAACUUGUUGACUGCCACAAGCACAUGCGUGAAUCCGCUCCUGCCUGUUCUCAGUGGACCAACCAUGUCCAGUCCCCAGACAGCAAAGGGCCAGACGAGUGGAAUGGUCUUCAGGGUUGAUGCAGGCUUGUGUGACAUGUUGGAGUAGAACUGGCAGCCUUCACACUUGUCGACUAUCUCUUUUGCCAUCUCAUUUGCUCUAGGCCAGUAAAAUCCCGCUCGGUAUGCUUUAGACACAAUGGUCUGAGAGGACGCAUGGUGGCCACAGGUCUUCGAGUGGAUAUCAUCAAGGAUUAUCCGACCUUCUUCUGGUGUUAUGCACUUCUGACCGAUUCCAGUCGGGCUUUCUCUAUACAACUGCCCCUUUAUGACUGUGAAGGCCUUGGAUCGGCGGACGAUCUGUCGAGCCUCUUCCUCGUCUUCUGGGAGCUCUUUCCUUAGGAUAUACGCGAUGUACGGUAUCGUCCAGUCAAGAGUGAUUGCCAAGACUUCCAUGAUUAGGUCGACCAUAGCAGGAACUUCGACUUCAGUCGGAUCUGUGGCACUUUUUGGUUGUGGGGCUUCUUCUGUGAAAGGAUCCUCCUGGACUGACGGCGAGCGGAUGUGCUCCAGAAACACAUUGCUGGGAAUGGCUUCUCUCUUGGAGCCUAUUUUUGCCAGAUCAUCAGCUGCUUGGUUUUUCAGUCGGGGGAUGUGAUGAAGCUCUAACCCUUCAAAUUUCUUUUCUAGCUUUCUCACUGCAUUGCAAUAACCAGUCAUAGCUGGACUUCUGACGUCCCACUCCAUCACCUGAUUAACCACCAAAUCUGAGUCGCCAUAGACCAUGAGGCGACGGACGCCGAGUGAAAUGGCCAUGCACAACCCAUACAAAAGUGCUUCAUACUCUGCUUCAUUGUUGGAGGAAUCGAAGUGAAUCUGGAGAACAUAUCUGAGCCUAUCUCCUCGGGGGGAGACUAGAACUACCCCAGCACCGGAACCAUUCAGCAUCUUAGAUCCAUCGAAGAACAUGGUCCAGUGCUCCGAGUGAACUUGAGUCGGCAGUUGCUGUUCAAUCCACUCGGCGAUGAAAUCUGCGAUUGCUUGGGACUUGAUAGCCUUCUUUGCUUCAAACUUGAUAUCUAAGGGAAGGAGUUCAAUUGCCCACUUGGCCACUCGACCAGUUGCAUCUCUGUUAUGCAGAAUCUCUGACAGUGGGGCAUCGCUGACGACUAUAAUGGAGUGGUCAGAGAAGUAAUGUGCAACCUUCUUGGUGGUCAUAUAAAUCCCAUAUACAAGCUUCUGGUAGUGAGGGUAUCUUUGUUUUGAAGGUGUCAAAACUUCAGACACAUAAUAGACUGAGCGCUGAACUCUGAAGGCCUUUCCUUCUUCUUCCCGCUCGACCGUAAGUACUAUGCUGACAACUUGCCCUGUGGCUGCAAUGUAAAGCAGCAGAGGCUCUUUGCUGAUUGGGGCGGCAAGCACCGGCUGGGUGGAGAGCAGAGCUUUGAGCUCUGCAAAUGCUGCAUCAGCUUCCGGAGUCCACUCGAACUUGUCAGACUUCUUCAUCAGUCGGUAAAGGGGCAACGCCUUUUCACCGAGAGGAGAAAUGAAUCGACUUAGGGCGGCCAAGCAGCCUGUAAGCUUUUGGACGUCGUGCACGCGAACGGAGCGCUUCAUCCGGAGUAUGGUGCCAACUUUUUCAGGAUUGGCGUCGAUCCCCCGUUCGGAAACGAGAAAACCGAGUAACUUUCCACCUGGAACUCCGAAUGUGCACUUUGAUGGAUUGAGCUUGAUAUCAUACCUCCUAAGGUUGACAAAGGUUUCGGCAAGGUCAGCUCGCAGGUCGGAACCUUUGCGUGACUUGACCACAAUAUCAUCCAUGUAUGCCUCCAUAUUCCGACUGAUUUGAGUGAGUAAACACUUCUGAAUCAUUCUCAUGAACGUGGCUCCGGCGUUCUUGAGGCCGAACGGCAUGGUGACAUAACAGAAGCAUCCGAAUGGGGUGAUGAAAGCUGUUUUGAUUUCGUCGGGUCCAUACAGACGAAUCUGAUGGUACCCGGAAUAAGCAUCUAGAAAAGACAAUCUCUCGCACCCCGCAGUCGAGUCGACUAUUUGGUCGAUGCGCGGGAGAGGAAAAUGAUCUUUCGGGCAGGCCCGAUUGAUAUGUUUGAAAUCAAUGCACAUGCGAAGUGACUUGUCCUUCUUGGGGACCAUGACGACAUUGGCGAGCCACUCGGAGUGGUAAAUCUCUCGGAUAAACUCCGCUGCUAAGAGCCGAGCCACCUCCUCGCCAAUGGCUUUCCUCUUCUGGACGGCGGACCGUCGAAGAUGUUCUUCCACAGGCUUGAACUUCGGGUUGACUCGUAGACGGUGCUCAGCCAGCCCUCUGGGAACUCCAGGCAUGUCAGAGGGUUUCCAUGCGAAGAUGUCCCAGUUCUCACGGAGGAUCUGGAUGAGCGCUUCUUCCUAUUUGGAGUCAAGCGUCGUUGAGAUGUGAGUCGGGGCAGCAUCGGGGUCGGUCGGGUGAAUGUGGACUGUCUUUGUUUCACCGGACGACUGAAAAGCUGAUUCUGAAGCAGGCUUCUUGGCUCGUAGCAACUCGCUUGGAUCGGCAGUCUUUUGGUACUCUUGCAGCUCGACCACUGCCAUCUGAGCAUCUGCAAUCUUUGAGCCCUUCUGAAAGCACUCUUCUCCCUUCUUCCGAUUGCCUGUAACAGUGAUCACACCUUUGGGGCCAGGCAUCUUCAAUUUGAGAUACACGUAACAUGGCCGGGCCAUGAAGCGUGCGUAAGCUGGCCUGCCCAAAAUGGCGUGAUAAGCACUUUGGAAGUCCACAACCUCGAAUGUCAACUUUUCCUUGCGGUAAUUCUUUGAAUCACCGAAAAUCACAUCAAGAGCGAUCUGGCCGAGUGAUUGGGCUUUCUUCCCAGGAAUGACUCUGUGGAAACUCAUGUUACUGGUGCUGAGCCUGGACAUCGGAAUGCCCAUUCCUUUCAAUGUUUCAGCAUACAGUAUGUUCAGGCCACUGCCACCAUCCAUCAGGACUUUAGUCAGUCGAGUGCCUUCAACAAUUGGGUCGACCACCAAAGCUUGCCUCCCAGGGGUGGCAAUGUGCGUUGAGUGAUCAGACUGGUCGAAUGUGAUGGCAGUCUGAGACCACUUCAGGUAACUGGGUGUUGCCGGGGCAACCAUGUUCACCUCUCGGUUAAUGACUUUCAGUCGACUUUUGCUUUCGACAUCGGCAAAAAUCAUCAGGGUGGAAUUGACUUGGGGGUAUCCAUCGUCACUGUCUUCCUUGUCCUCGACUCUGUCCGACUCUUUUUCCUUAUCCUUGGACUGCUUUCCUUGGAACUGCUGGAUCAGGAGCCGGCACUGUCGAGUGGUAUGCUUUGGGUAAAUAAAAUUACCCUCUUCAUCCUUCUUGGUGUGGAUGUGACAUGGCAGAUCCAAAACAUCAUUUCCGUCUUGAUCCUUGACUUUCUUGGGCUUCCAGGGGCCUUUGGGUUUUCCUUUGAAAUUUCCCUGGGUUGCGGCCAGGGCCUCCCCAAGGGCGGCUGGCUCGGCCUUCCGCUUCUGCUUCCGACUGGAAUUGCCUCCGGUUUCCUGGGCGACUGCUUUCUGCUUGCCACUCCGGAGUCGAUCUUCAUCUUCUUCGUUAGCGUACUUGGUGGCAAUCUCCAUCAUCCGAUUCAGAGACAUCUCUCCAGUUCGACCGAACUUCAGAUUCAACUCUCUGUAUUUAACACAUUCCUUGAAGGCACAAACUGCUUGAUGGUCUGGCACAUUCUCAACCGAGUGAUGCAGCGUGAUCCACCUUUGAAUGUAUUCCCUCAGAGUUUCAUUCGGCUUCUGCACGCAAGACCGCAACUCUGUAAGGCCUGCAGGUUGCUUGCAUGUUCCUUCAAAGGUUGUGAUAAACACUCGGGAGAGGUCCUCCCAAGUGUAUAUGCUGCUGGGUGCCAACUGAUUUAGCCACGCUCUGGCUGAGCCCUCUAACAUGAGAGGUAAAUGCUUCAUGGCCACCUCAUCAUUGCCACCGCCAAUCUGUACAGCCACUCGGUAAUCUUCGAGCCAAGUGUCAGGCUUAGAUUCACCGAUGAACUUGUUGAUUCCAGUCGCCAGCCUGAAAUUGGGAGGAAUCACUGCGGCUCUGAUGGCUCGAUUGAAACACUCUGGCCCUGAAGCAUGUACUCUGCUGCUGGCAGGCGCAUCUCUGUUGUGGCCUUCUCGAUGAGCUCUGUUCCUGUCAACCAAACCUUGAAUGAGGAUGGAUCUCGCAUCAAAGCCUGGGUCUCUGGGGUCGACUGGAAUCCUCUGCCCAACACUAUGAGGGCGUCUGUCAUCUUGCCGUCGAGGCGCAUACGACCCACUCCUCGGGGGAGGGGUUGGCACUCGACGUCGAUCAUCGCGGUCGAAUCGGUGAUCAUACUGCUCAUUCCUCCUGUACUGAUCAUGCCGGUCACCACAUCCCUCACGCCUUGGGGGCGAUCUCGGGCUGUGAGCCGACUCGACUGUAUCUGUUGCGACAGAUCGACUGUGGAUCCUAUCCCGCGACUGAGAGAUAGCGGAAUUCUGGUUUCCCACCGCCCGGAGCAACGCUCUGAUUUGUAACAAGCCCCUGCCAGCCUCCGACUGGGAGGGCUGAAUUGAUUCUGCUAUACGGGCCGCAGCGGCCAAAUUCUGAACUGGGGUUUGAUAUACCUGUGUCGGCGGGAAGAGCUGGCGUCGACUAGACUCGGGAGCCCGCUGACGCGCUCGCUCGUCGAGUGCUCGCUGGAGAUUCUCCAGUCGAGUGCGCUCGGCCAAAUUAGCCAAACGCGCGUCCUCCAAGGCCCGGGCCUCGGGGGACUCACCGACGAUAGGGGUGUAGAGGGCGUCUUUCCAGCGGCGAAGCUCCUCUCGCUGUGAUGACGUGAGAGGUUCGGGGAGAUACUCAUCGUGGGGAUGCGACGGAUCGCCCCCACCCGCGCCUCCACCAGCGCGAGGGAAACCAGGAGGACUGUGCGUCCCAUCGACCGCCAGAACCUCCGCCGAUGGGUCGCUGCUGUCGCACUCGGAUGCGGUCUCCGCGGAGCCAGUCGACAGGUCUAACAGGCCGUAGAGGGAUUCGUCGGGCUCGAUCGCCGCGACUUGCGGGGUGGCCGACUGGCGAGCCACGACAUGUCUCACCCACCUCUGAAGUCUCGACCGACCGGAGCGCUUGCGCCGGUGGGAGGCAGAGCGGGGAGACGAUACGGGGGCUGAUCGAUAUUGGGUCGACGGUUGCCGCAGGAGGACGCCACGAACGCAUGCGCGGAAAUGCGUCGCACCGCGGACGGCGAGCGCGUCGAUGUCGAGUGGCGCCUCCUGAAGCCAGGCGGAGUCGUCGGCGAUGAACGUGAGCGCGCCGAGACGGAUCUCGCGGCCCUCCAUCAAAAUUCCGCACGAAACCAUGAUCAAAGGGGAUCGGAAAAAUCGCAACUUCUCCAAUCAGGCGCUAAGACUGCUGCCCCACGGUGGGCGCCAACUGUCGUGGUUCUAACUCUGACAGUGAUGUAGGGGGGUGAAUAUGGAGAGGCUAGAUCUUAGCUAUUGGAAAGUUGUUACACGCGAGGUUUACGAGUUCAGGCCCUUCUCAGAGGAAGUAAUAGCCCUACAUCUCGGAGCCCGGAGGCGGUCGACUGGAUUAUGCGUGUAUGGAUUACCGGGGUGCGAACCCUUCACACUGAGGAGGGGGUGGCUUAUAUAGAGUUCGCCGGACCCCUCCUGCCCUCAGUAAUGCAGGGUUUAAGGUACAUUUAAGGUUGGGUGUUACUGGUAACGCCCCUAAUAAAAUGCUAUAAUGAUCAUAAAGACUACUUAAUAGCCGACCGUUUGCCUGUGGAGUGACUUUAGGUCUCCUGGCAGUCGAGUGGUUGGCUUCAUAGUCGAGUGAUAGCUUCUUGGUCGAGUGUCUUGAACCCGUCGAGUGGGAUACCUUCAAGUCGAUUGAAAGGUGACUUCUUCUAGGGGUGUCCUAGGGUAGGACUCUUUGGUCAGGUUCGUGUCCCUACCCUAGGUACAUGUCUUCAUCACUCAUCCCACACACGUACACCUGUUCCAUUCCACAGUUGUAAGAGUUCUUCAACUAAUGGCCUUAGGUACACAUCAAUGUCGUUGCCGGAUUGCUUAGGGCCUUGGAUGAGCACUGGCAUCAUAAUGAACUUCCGCUUCAUGCACAACCAAGGAGGAAGGUUAUACAAACAUAGAGUCACAGGCCAGGUGCUAUGGUUGCUGCUCUGCUCCCCAAAAGGAUUAAUGCCAUCUGCGCUUAGACCAAACCAUAUGCUCCUUGCGUCAUCUGCAAACUCCUUCCCGUACUUUCUUUCGAUUUUUCUCCACUGCGACCCGUCAGUGGGUACUCUCAACUUUCUGUCUUUUUUACGGUCUUCUCUGUGCCAUCGCAUCGCCUUGGCAUGCUCUUUGUUUUGGAACAAACGUUUCAACCGUGGUAUUAUAGGAGCAUACCACAUCACCUUGGCAGGAAUCUUCUUCCUGGGGCGCUCGUCCUCGACAUCACCAGGGUCAUCGCGGCUGAUCUUAUAGCGCAAUGCACCACAUACCGGGCAAGCGUUCAAAUCCUCGUACUCACCGCGGUAGAGGAUGCAAUCAUUAGGGCAUACAUGUAUCUUCUGCACCUCUAACCCUAGAGGCCAGACAACCUUCUUUGCUUCGUACAUACUCUCGGGCAAUUCGUUGUCCUUUGGAAGCAUAUCCUUUAUCAUUACCAGCAACUUUCCAAAUCCCUUAUCAGAUACACCAUUCUCUGCCUUCCAUUGCAGCAAUUCCAGUAUGGUGCCCAGCUUUUUCUUGUCACCUACGCAAUUGGGGUACAACAAUUUUUUGUGAUCCUCUAACAUGCGCUGCAACUUCUUCUUCUCCAAAUCACUUGCGCAGUUUCUCUUUGCAUCAGCAAUGGCCCAACCUAGAUCAUCAACGGGCUCAUCUGAUGCCUCUUCUUCAGCUUCUUCCCGCAUUGCCGGCUCAGCUUCUUCCCGCAUUACCGGCUCAGCUUCUUCCCCCAUUGUUGUAUCAUCGUAUUCAGGGAACCCAUGGCCAAGAUAGUUGUCGUCGUCCUCUUCUUCUUCAUUGUCUUCCAUCAUAACCCCUCUUUCUCCGUGCUUGGUCCAAACAUUAUAGUGGGGCACGAAACCGGACUUAAACAGGUGGACGUGAAUGAUUCUUGACUUAGAGUAAUUUUGAUCAUUCUUACAGCCAGCACAUGGACAAGGCAUAAAACCAUCCGCCCGCUUGUUUGCCUCAGCCGCAAGCAGAAAAGUAUGCACGCCCUCAACAAACUGGGGAGAGCAUCGGUCAUCGUACAUCCAUUGUCGGCUCAUCUUCAUUACACAACACCGAAUAGACCAAAUUAAUACAAGUUCAUACAUAAAGUUCAUACAACACUUAAAUGCAACAAACAAAUAACUCUCUAGCUAAAGCAUUUAAAUGCAACAACAAAUGCGAUCAAGAUCGCAACUAAGGCAACAAUGGAUCCAACAGCAUAAUGAUACCAAGCCUCACUAUCGAUGGCAUAUUUUCUAAUCUUUCUAAUCUUCAAGCGCAUUUUCUCCAUCUUGAUCUUGUGAUCAUCGACGACAUCGGCAACAUGCAACUCCAAUUCCAUCUUCUCCCCCUCAAUUCUUUUCAAUUUUUCUUUCAAGUACUCGUUUUCUCUUUCAACUAAAUUUAAUCUCUCGACAAUAGGGUCGGUUGGAAUUUCUGGUUCACAUACCUCCUAGAAAAAAUUUCUAUGUCAACUUGAUGGGCAUAAUUUGUCAUAAACACGAAAUGCAACUAGUUUUAAAAGAGAAUAUAUAUACCACAUCCGAAUCAUAACAAGGACGAGGACCGACGGGGACGGAUAUCAAAACCAUGGCACUAUAUGUAUAACAAACAACAUACGGGUAAGAUAAUUAUACGAGUAACUAUAUAUCCAAAUCACACAAACAUCAAUUUUUAUAUAAAAUUUCAUGAACAAGAGGCUCACCAUAAGGUGGUGCCGGCGACGGGACGGUGCGGGCGAUCGACGGUGGUUAUGACGGAGAUUUAGAAGGCACUAAGUAAACCACACCUACAUAUGCAAACUAAGUGUUAUUUUUGACCUCAAAUUGCAUAUAAAUCAAAUACUAGCACAUAUAUAUAUAUAUCCUCCCAAAUUACUAAACUCACAAAUUAAUCACUAUAUAAAGCAUUAGAAGAGCUAAUCUAGCAAUGAGAGAUGAAAGGACAAAGUUGCUAACCUUUGUGAUCAUUUGAAUGGAUGGGGGCCUUCAAAUCUUGACAAAUUUUGGGCAAAAUGUGUGAUGAGCUCGAGAGUAAGAGGGGAAGAACAGAGAGAGGAGAGGGGAAAGGGGAAGAACAGAGCGAGCCCGUGCUCUCGGGUGGACGAAGGGUUUAUGUAGGACGACCUUUAGCACCGGUUCGUGCCAAGAACCGGUACUAAAGGGGCUGGAGGGGUCCCAGUCUGACAACAUCCUGCCACCACUCUCAUUAGUAUCGGUUCGUGGCACGAACCGGUGCUAAAGGUUCGCCACGAACCGGUACUAAUGAAAGCGGCCCGGCUAGCCGUUGGAACCGGCACUAAUGUAUACAUUAGUGCCGGCUCAAAUACAAACCGGCACUAAUGUGCUUCACGUUUGACCCUUUUUCUACUAGUGGAAGAAGUUGUUGGCAUGUGCAUGUACUACUUGUAUACUUUAGAUAAUCGAUGAGUUUCGUGGUGAUCCCUUCUUUAUUAUACUACUACUAAGGCCUCCUUUGGUUUAGAGGAAUUUCAUAGGAAUUCUAGAGGAUAGGAUUCUUAUAGGAUUUUUUCGUUUAGAGCUCUUUGGUUCAUAGGAAUGGAUUCCUAUUCCUACAUAGGAUUGGUUUCUAUCCUCCACAUUUCAUAGAAAAAUAAAAAAGAGCCUAGACUCAAUGAAAAAAUUCCUUUGGUGUCAACCAAAUGAUAUCUUGUUUCCUAUUCCUACUCAUAGGAUUUGAGAUACAUGUCAUCUCAUUUCCUACAAGAUUCUUAUUCCUAUGAUAAUCCUAUCCUAUGAACCAAAAGAGGCCUAAAAUAGAUAUUGUACUGUGUUGUGUUUUGCUUUGUGUAUUGAUCGCAUCCUUUCGUAUGAGAAUGUAGGGCACAAAGGGAAUCAAAUACUUAAAUGUUUAUGUUGCGUCUCCCGCAAAAAAAUGUUUAUGUUGCGUCCCCCGCAAAAGAAAAAUGUUUAUGUUGCGAAACUGGUUUUAUGGCCAAUCUAACGAUACUAUUCCACCUAGCCCACCUAACUGCUUCAUGUCCGGGGUGAAGACUUUUGUUUUGACCUUGAUUUGUUGGGCGCAGCAGCGGCGAACUUGCGUUGUUAUUUUGUUGAAGACGUUGUUUUCCUACCGAUGUGCUGGCCUUCAACGGUUGAUCUCGAUAAUUAGGAUGAAAAUACUUGUCUUGGCCCUUCUUUGGCUGGAUGUGACGGCGGUGUCGUGAGGACGUUUAUUUCUUUUGAAAGCGUUGCUGCAAAAGAAAUUAACUUAGUUAUAGAUGUUAAUUUCAUCUUGUUUGUCGUUGUUAUCUAUUGUAUGUACUUUAUAUCAGACUUUAUUAAAUAUGAUUGUGUGCAUUGCAAUGGUGCAGAUGCCAGGGAUUUCAAUCUCCUUUUCAAAGAAAAGAAAUUAACUACUCCCUCCGUCCCAUAAUAUUAGAUCGUUUUAUAAACUGUUUUAUAGCUUACAGAACAAUCUUAUAUUUUGAGACGGGGGGAGUGGCUUUACUACAGAGAAGUUUGUUUAACCCUUCUAAAGCGUCAUCUGUUUUGGAACUGAGUGAGCGUAUGAUAUGCAUGUAGCAGCCGGCAGACGUAUGCAUGCCAAAUGACAUGUAGUACUAGUUAAUUAGUAGUAGUAGUAGUAUAAGGUUAGAUUGCGCGACAUCAAUCAUUCAACACAGACCGACUAUACGAGGUACUGAUAGUAGUUUAUUGUCGAAGGGCCAUAGGCCGUUCUUGGUACGGAUAGUAGUUUAGUUAGUUCAUCUAUGGAUUCUGCUUCUUCCUGGACGGGGCAUGCUGUGCGCAUGCAUGGCUGCAUGUUUGAGCUGCAUUUAACACGCGAGUUCGAUGCCAGAGGCUUAAUUAACUAGUCUUGCGAUUAUUAUUGUUUGAUUAGUAAAACGUUUCAGGCUAGGCUUUACGUACCGGAUGACGCAAGGAAGGAAGAAGGAAACAACUCAGGGAAAUACUCCAGCUUAGCUCUAGGUCAGACAAACACACGCACAGAGGAAGCCGGCAGGCAGGCAGGCAGGCAGGCAGGCAGGUGUGUUUGAUUAGGUUUUAUCCUUUACAACGAAAUGAUGUUUCGUUGGUAGGCAGCUACACACACCACAACCUGAUUUGCCUCAAGAAUUUGCUCCCGAGAACCUCACUCCGGAAUUACUUGUUGUCAAACGAAAGAUCUACUAAUAGAGUGUAACUUACGCUUCGCUGCUCGACUUUUUUAUGUGUUCAACUAACUGCUUUUUUAAAAAAGGUGGCAAAACAUUCUCAUCAAUUAAUUGAGAAGAAGAGAGUUGUCAAGUUAAUUUACGAAAAAUCAGGCAAAAAUCGAUACAAAUAACCCAAAGCGAACUACUCACAAAGAAUGAAACACCGUAAUCGUCCAAAGGACACUUCAAACACACAACAACCACAAUCCUCGACACUUGCACAACUCAACGGAACUCCUGACAAGCACACUUACAAUGACAAGAACUGGGCACCCUCCAUCAUAAAAUCAUGGACGCCUUUCCGAUGGCGCUACUCUUCUUACUUUUGUUCCUUUUUUCAUUUCUCCUUGCUUGGUUUCUUCUUAAAGGGGCAACCACUUGUCUUGCCAGCUGGGGGUUGAUCAGCCACCCAUUUGUCAACGAAAUCAUAAAACUCAUUGAAUUUCUUGGUGUAGCUAUCGUCAACCAAGACGCUCGUAGGAGCAGGCACCAACACACUGGUCGCAUCGACGUCCUCGACCAGAGGGACCACCGACACGACAUCAUCGACUAUAGGAACCAUGUCACAAUGGACUCAGGCACCUCCACUUGCUCACAUGACGGAGGCGAAACAUGUCCCUCACACGACUUCACCGAUGAGUCCACCUCCAACUGCUCCAAAGACAAGGGCGAAGCAGGACUCGGGCAUAGCUUCCGUAGCUCGGGCAUGAUCUGAAGCACCGGAGCCUCGAGCACAACGUUCUACUCACCCUCAGUGGUAGGCAUCACAGGGGACAAGGUCGACUGUGACGAUGAAUUGUUCUCAGCACGAGGGGAGAAACAUGCAUAUAAGCAUAUAGCUCUCGCCCUUCUUCCAUAGAGCCAACACCCUUCACAUGAGAAGGGCACAACGUUGGAGUAGUUUGCGACAAAGCCGGCACAAGGGAUAGUCUGCUUAGAACAGUUUCCGCCCACUCCAGAAAGCUCCCAACCCGCGCCAGCCAAUCCUGCAGCAGAGUUGUCUGACCAGCUAGAGCGGACUGCAACAUCAUAUAGGGCGGAGUUGCCGAGCCAACAGAAGCCGAGACGAUAGACGCCCAAGACCCAUGGCGAAGAAGUGCAGGUUGUACAAAGAUUCCAGGAACUGUUUUCACAAACAGAAGAAGAAUGACGGGGUUGGGGAUGGCACCGGGAUGUCGGAGGAAUAGGGGCGGUACGCUGCAUGGAGAAUGGAGGAGAAGCAUCGGUGUGCUGCUCCAGGGUGCUACUCCAGGUCCACCUCCCUGGCGUCAAUGGGUGCCAUAUCGUGACCUCGAGGCAGCGGUUCACCGUGGACACAAUUUGCAUGGGGAUUGGCCAUGGCGGCGAGACGGCAGAGUUAUGUGGGCGUGGUGCGGGAAUUUUUUUUUGGGAGGUUGUGGGGAUUAUUUCAAUUUUAAUUAGAUUCAGUGCAUCAUUAUCAUUAGGACAGGUGGCUAUUAUUUUAAUUAAUCAGAUUUGUCAUUAUCAUUACCAUUAAAACUAGGAAAGCAUAAAUCCACCCUUGAUAAGGAAUUACCAACGUGUCCUCGAGCCAUAAUCUGACCAAUCAGUGCUAACCAUUGGAUGAACCUAACAUUGUGUAGAACAAUGUACCAUACAAAAUCUCUAAAUCUAUGUUUGUGCAACUAACAACAUACUCCCUCCCCUUAACACAGUAUAAGACUUUUUUUUUGAAAAGCUAUGAUAACCACGUUCAAUAGAUAAAUACCCCAAAAGAUCAUUUCCUUGGUGUAGAAACAAAGAGAUUGUUUAUCAACUUGGUUCUAAAACGAUGGGUGUUAUUUUAUUUAUUUAUUUAUUUUGCGAAAACGAUGGGUGUUAAUUACUGACUACCUUGAUGAAAAAGAGCCAGCAAGUAUAAAUGAAGAGCAGACCUCAAGGUGUUCUAAAACAGAGGACACGGGCGGCCAGUGCGGGGGAGCGAGANNNNNNNNNNNNNNNNNNNNNNNNNNNNNNNNNNNNNNNNNNNNNNNNNNNNNNNNNNNNNNNNNNNNNNNNNNNNNNNNNNNNNNNNNNNNNNNNNNNNNNNNNNNNNNNNNNNNNNNNNNNNNNNNNNNNNNNNNNNNNNNNNNNNNNNNNNNNNNNNNNNNNNNNNNNNNNNCAAAGGAACAUAGGGAGCACAUUUGUACUGUAGCAUACCCAACAAUUCUACUUCUUUCACAAGAAAUGACUUACGGCUCGGCAUGAAUGAUUUGUUCACUCUGAAUAGCAGCGGCAUGGAUUUACAAAAUGGGAAGAAAACGAAACAAAAACACAGAUGAUCAAUGGCGGCACGCAUCAUCACGUUUAGUUUAUUCACUGAGAGCAAGCAGAGUAAAAAAGUUAGUAAGACAGUUCUCUUAUCCAGUACUUGUACAGACUUAAUGCAUGGACAUCCCUUAAAAAACACCCUUUUUUUCGCCUCAAACAAGAGAGAAGUACUUUAGAGCUUCAGAGUUUUAAAUGCCCUUCGCUACCAUGUCAUUCUGUGAUGCCUUACAAUCCCACAAGUCACUGUAUACAUACAUUCAUACAAACAUACAUAUGGUUCUGAGGAGAAAAUUAAUAAUGAAACAAAUAAUGUAUUGAGUGGAGGUGAGCCAUGUGGUUUUAAUCUUCGUCACCAUCAACUCUCAUUCAAAACCAGUGAUCCUUGACAGCUGCUAUUGGCUUCAAGAGCAUGUCNNN
RNAcentral lists this long non-coding RNA (73466 nucleotides) under Triticum aestivum (bread wheat). Its description in RNAcentral is "long non-coding RNA (TAES_LNC002362)". The stretch from base 15619 to 15733 matches the Rfam family "MIR1120/MIR1122 microRNA precursor family". The record is from RNAcentral. Lineage: Eukaryota; Viridiplantae; Streptophyta; Magnoliopsida; Poales; Poaceae.